This 77750-nucleotide long non-coding RNA is filed under the name Vitis vinifera (wine grape). RNAcentral's name for it is "long non-coding RNA (VVIN_LNC001392)". Lineage: Eukaryota; Viridiplantae; Streptophyta; Magnoliopsida; Vitales; Vitaceae. The record is from RNAcentral.
UUGGAGGAAAGGUAGUGGAGAAAGCCUUGCUAGACUUGGGAGCAAGUGUGAAUUUGCUUCCAUAUUCUGUCUACAAGCAACUGGGACUUGGAGAGUUGAAGCCAACAGCAAUCACUUUGUCUCUGGCAGAUAGAUCAGUGAAAAUUCCAAGAGGGGUAAUUGAGGAUGUAUUGGUUCAAGUAGAUAAUUUCUACUAUCCUGUAGAUUUUGUUGUUCUUGAUACAGAUCCUACUGUAAAGGAAGCUAAUUUAGUUCCUAUCAUCCUUGGAAGGCCAUUUCUUGCAACUUCAAAUGCAAUCAUCAACUGUAGAAAUGGGCUUAUGCAACUCACUUUUGGUAACAUGACACUGGAUCUAAAUAUUUUCUAUAUGUCUAAAAAGCAAAUCACUCCAGAAGAAGAAGAGGGUCCAGAAGAGCUAUGUAUUAUUGAUACUUUGGUGGAGGAGCACUGCAAUCAACAUAUGCAAGAUAAGUUGAAUGAAAGUUUUGUGGAUAUUGAGGAAGGUUUUUCUGAAUCUCCUAAUGGGCUUGCUACUCUACAAAGUUGGAGAAAGAUAGAAGGAAUUCUACCUUUGUUCAAUGAAGAAGAGGAGGCAGCUGUUGAAAAAGAAAUUCCAAAACUCAAUCUGAAGCCUUUACCUAUGGAGCUGAAAUAUACAUAUCUUGAAGAAAAUAAUCAAUGUCCUGUCGUAAUAUCUUCAUCUCAAACCAAGUCUCAAGUGAAGGAUGCAAGCUUCAAAUGGGAUCCGGGCAAACUGAAUCAGGAAGGGCAAAAAGUUUUGAUGUAUGACACAAGACUCCAUAUCUUUCCUGGGAAGCUCAAGUCAAGGUGGAUUGGUCCAUUUGUUAUUCACCGAGUAUAUUCCAAUGGAGUGGUGGACUUAUUGAAUUCCAAUGGCAAGGACAGCUUUAGAGUCAAUGGAUAUCGUCUUAAGCCGUUCAUGGAGUCAUUCAAAUCAGAAAAGGAGGCAAUCAACCUCCUUGAACCUCAAAAAGCCUAAGUGAAAUGGGUUUGCUGGACGUGGUUUUACCACAGUCCAAAAAUUUUUGUAAAUUUUGUAAAUUUUCAAGUUGUUUCCAUGCUUUUAAUCUUAGUUUUUGAUUUUAAAUCAUGUUUUUAGGUGUGUUUUAAUCGUUUUAUAUGAUCCCAGGCGGAAGAAAUUUCAAGGGGAUUGAAAAGAAAAAAAUCGGGUCGAAAUUGGAGCCGAAACAGAGCAAAAACAGGGGAAAAACAGAGCUCUGCGAAAUUUCGCAGGGUGAAGGAAACUUCUGCGAAAUUGGCAUUUUGCUGCCAAACCAUUCCGCAGCACUGUAGAAGCCUCUGCGAGUGUAUUUCGCAAUUGCGAAAGUGGAUUUGGCACACGAGUGCCACUUCGCAGCACAGUGACAUCAAUUUCGCAGCUGCGAAACUCACUGCGAAGUUGCUGCGAAAAUGGCAAGUUGCUGCGAAAUUGGCGUUUUGUUGCGAAACGUAAUCUGACCCCUGGGCUUCCGUUUUUCCUAUUUAUACCUGUCAAAAGUGCUGCGAAAAAGGUUUCAAAAAUUAGAGCACCAUUCUCGCAGCCCUUUCAUCUUCUUCGCCAAGCCACGCCGUCCGUUUCUCCGGUCGUCUUCUCCGUUUAGCAGCGCCGGCCAAAGAUCGAUAGCCCAAAAAUGGCACGAACGCGAGGGGCAAAGUCUUCAUCCCCUUCGAACCGCAAAAGGAGUCUGCGAAAGGAGCCAAGUUCAGGCUCUGUUCCAGAACCUGCUCCAAAGCCUUCGCCGUCGAGACCACAACCUUCUCCAGUGAAGCCGGCGCCACCAAAGCCGCCGGCAAGGCGAUAUUUAACCAGGUCAGGUGGUCAGCCAUUGAAGAAGAAAGCCAGAGUUGAGAGCUCUGAACCAAUCGAUUUGACUGAGCAAUCCCCUGAGAAAUCACCAAAUCCUUCACCGGUACAAAUUCCAGUGCCAUCACCGGUUCCCUCGCCAAUUCCCUCACCAGAAGCAACUCCAAUUCCAUCGCCGGUACCAUCUCCGGCACCCCAAGAAAAAGCUCAGGAGCCUCAAGCGCCAAUUCCAGAGCCCCAAAUUGCAGCUGAAGCACCUCUGGAAGAAGUGAUCCGAAGGCCAAUGCUGCCUCAGCCCCCAAUCGAAGGAAACCUGGAUUGCCGAACUCGGGCAUUCCAUUCUGAGCUUUGCUUCGAUUUAACAGCAUUCAGAGUGAGGCCAGAGCUUGCCCAAUCCUUCCAACUGCUGAGGAGAUAUCAUAUGGAGCAUCUGCUAGCUCCAAGGGAUUUUUUCUAUCCCCGGGUAGUCACGGAUUUCUACCAAACCAUGACAACCAAAGAAGUAAGAAAUCCAACUCUGAUUCAUUUCAUAAUUGAUGGAAGGCAUGGUAUUUUGGGAGCAAGACAUAUUGCUGAAGCCCUGCAAAUUCCUUUUGAGCCAACUCAAUUCGACAAUUUUAAAGCUUGGACAAAUCCUACUGAGUUAGAGAUGGUUAGCACACUAACCAGAGGAGCUGCAAAUCGAUCGCAUUUGUUGAGGGGGGAGCUACCUCCAGUUAUGUUUUUGAUUGAUGCCUUUUUGAGGCAUAAUAUCUAUCCCCUGCAGCAUUGGACCCAAAGAAGGGGAAUUCUCCUAGAAGCCUUGUACAAAAUGUCUGAAGGAUUCUUCUUUGGGCCUCAUCAUCUGAUCAUGGCAGCCCUUCUAUACUUUGAGGAGAAGGUUCACAAGAAGAAGCUUCAAAGAGCAGAUUGCAUUCCACUCCUCUUCCCAAGGCUGCUAUGCCAAGUUUUGGAGCAUCUCGGAUACCCCUCUGAGCCUCAGCAGGAAAGAAAGAGAAUAUGCCGUGAGCCUUUUACCCUUGAUAAAUGGAAUAAUAUGACGGCCUACAAAAUUGAUCAGCCUGGGCAGCCUCAGCCAGCAGCAAGGAGAGUCUCCCCAAGACAUAUACCUGAAGGUAUAACACUUGCUACUCCUGCCAUCCCUCGAGCUCCACCAGCUGCACCUGCUCCAUCACAGCCAUCCACAUCAGCUGAGCCGAGGAUGGCCAUCCCUAUAUCCGAAUAUCGAGAGCUGUGCCGUGCAUUGGAGACUCUUACAGCUUCUCAGAGCAAUCUUGCUCAGGAGUUGGCAGCCAUUAAAGCAUGCCAGGAGCAGAUGUUAGCCUCUCAGACUCAACAAGCUGCCAUCCUAAGGCAGCUUCAAGUCCAUUUCGAUCUGCCACAAGCUGUAGAGCCCUCUAUUCCUACUCCACCAGAGCCACACUCUCAGCCUUCAGAGUCUCAUCCUCCAGAACCCGAAGCACCAGCUGAUCCACCUACUGAGGAGGCAGAUCCUUCUGCCUAGCACCAUCACCCCCCUCAUCAGACAUUAUAUAUAUAUUUGCUGUUUAUGUUUUUAUGCAUGUUUGUUUUGUUUUAGUUGAAAAGAAAUCCCAGUAUUUUGGUACUAUAUAUGGGAUUCCUUGUGUUACUUGUCUUUAGUAUUGUAAUCACAUGAACUCAAAGUAAUACAAGUUGACUAUUUCUUGUUAAAAGUUAGCAUUAAAGUUUCCUUAUUUCCUUUUCUCACAUAUUCUAUUCUUUUUGAAACAUGUGGUUUUCCCCAAUCAAUAUUCGAAUUUGAUAUCAGCAUGGAGGUACCACUUCCUCCCUUUUAUUACAGUCACUCAAAUCACAUUGAGGACAAUGCUCAGUUCGGUUGGGGGGUAUGAGGAAGGAAGUAUUCUAAACCUUUUUGGUAUUGCAAUUAUAUUGGUUAAUUAGUUGUAGAUUUUACUUUUUACUAGUGUUACUCUAUUCUCCAUGAAUUUUGAGGAAAAAUUUUCAAAUUAAACCAAGAGAAAUUGAACUGUUGUUUUUCACUUGACUUAGAGUAUGGAUUAUGCUUACUAAAGUGGUUCAAUUGUUGAAACUUCUACUGAAAUUGAAUUGAGUUCUUCCACUUUAAGCUAUCCACACACUGUGCACAUUAGUUUCCGAUUAUAAGAUGAAAAGCUAUUUCCCUCUUGACUUAGUAUAUUUUUGGGACUUGGUAUAUUUGACCUCAUUUGAUAAAAAUUGAAACACCCUGCAAAAGGCCAAUGAGCCUUUGAAAUAAAGAAAGUUGUUUGCUUGCCUUGAAACCCGAGCAAGGUCUGAGGGGUAUAUGGUGAAAAUCUUUAAAGCCUGGUGCCCUAAGCCUUAAUUGGUUGGGAGUCACCGACCUCAAUGCUCGUUACAAGGGUGAAUAGGUAGAGUUAGCAUAUGGUAGAUGCUUGGGUAUUAGAAAUUCAUUCUUAAAAGUCCGGGGAAAAAUCCGAGGAGUUAGUGGUUGAAAGAUCCUUAAAACUUGGUGCCCUAAACCUUAAUUGGUUGGGAGUCAUCGAUGGACCCCCAUUACAUGGACAAGUCAGAAAGAGUACCCCAUAAAGCUACCUUAAAAAAAAAAAAAAAAAAAAAAAAAAAAAAAAAGAUGAAAGUGUGUUCUUUUCUUAUUGAUUUUGGUCAGUUUGCUAAAGUGUUGAAAAGAGAUAGGUUGGGGGGUGAGAUUAGUAGCAUAUUAUUCUCGGAACCUAAGGAACCAAUACACAUAGAUUUUUGUGGAAGAUUGAAGUUUAGUUCUUAGAAAAUGAAAUGAUUUUAAAACUUCAGUUUGCAUAAUGCACUCCCUUGAUUGACAGUGUUUAGCAUAGGUGUUAUGACUCUUGUUGAGAUUUGGGUUUGUAUUUCUUUAAUGAUUCAUGUGAGAAAUAGAUCAUCAUGCCACUUGAGAAUUAUUUUCCUUUUAGCAUGAUGUUGUAAAUUUUAGAUUAGUUUGCUAUUUAUUUUUUAUUUUCUCUCCUAUAUUGCUAAGGGACUAGCAAUAUGUCGGUUGGGGGGAGUGAUUACUACUCAAAAAGUGCUAUUUGAUAGCCUUUAAUUAAUCCUUUUUAACACUUUUGAGUAGUAGUUUAGGCCUUUUAACUCAAUUGGCAUGUUAAGGAUCCUUUAAAGCAAUUUUGAUCACUUUGUGCAAGUUUUGGUGUUUUUGUUAGUAUUUUGAUCACCAAAGCAAGUCAAGAAUGAGGAGAACUAUGAGGAAUCAUGGGCAAAGCUUAGAAUUCAAUUGCCAAGAGUGAAUCCGGAUUGCAAGGAGAAAAAGCAAAGAGAAUCUGUCAUGAAGCCUAUUCUUGAUGACAGUCGUAGCAGCCACUUUUGGAGCACUUUCUGAAGUCCAAAUGAUGCAAGCUAUAUACCAUUUCAAAGCUCAGGAAGUCAACAAUCCAAUGCUUCAAACGGUGCGCGAUUCGGAGUUGAAACGAAGAAGUUGCAGCCAUUACAAGCCAGUCACUCUAAAGUGUUGCGGAAUCAGCCUUUUGUUGCGAGAAUUUCGCAGCACUUUUGUACAGUAAGGUGUUUCUCCUUCUGACGAUGCACGAACCAUGCCGCGAGAGGGAAGCUAGGAACUUCAAGAUGGAAGCCAACUUUGCAGCCUGGUGAAGAUAGCUUGGUCUUGCGAAAUAAUUUCGCAGCCCUCUUGGGUGUCUGCGAAAUUUCGCAGGCACCACUUUUUUCCUGCGAAAUGGCUCCGGAAGCCUCCCGAAGCUUGCUACCGACAUUGGGAGAUAUUUUCCAUUAGAUUUUUGUUGUCUAAAUUCCAAAAUACUCCUUGUAAACCACCAAUUACAUGAUUCCUUAGUUUUUAAGUUAGUAAAAAGACCAAAUAUCUAUGUAAUAAUUAGUUUUAUAUUAGUUUGCUAUAAAUACCUCUCGGGAGCAUGUUCUCAGAGAGGAGUUCCUUCUGUAACCAUUUUGGUAAGCAAGUAAAGUCUUUUCUUUCUACUGCCUUACCUUCUCACUUUGUAUUUUCAUUUUAUUUCUAAGUUAUGAAUUCUCUGAGGAGCUUUCCCCAGAGAAUGAGUAACUAAACCUCCAAUUCCUUGGAGCUAAGGUUGCCGGGGAAGGUUCCAAGUGCAAGAAUGCAAAGCUCUGUGGUUUUAGCUAGUAAUGAAGAGGAAGUGAAAUCCUUUAGUGAUUUCAAUGUUUUUAGUUAACUUAAAACACCUUGGAGUCACCUGGGCCAACACUUGGUAAGGCAAGUGAUUUCCAACCGUGGAAAUGCACUAGUUUACCCCUUGCGAGCCUCUGGUAGGUGACUUCAAGGUAGGAUUUUCUGGAAUUACCAACACUUGGUAAGCUUUUGGACUCCUAGGAGACAUCCAUUAGUUAUCUCUUGCGAGUUUGUGAAGGGGAAUCCAAGGUUAAAGAUCACCUUGAAUGGUAAGUGCUCGUGAGAGGCAUGAACCAUUGCAAGUUGUAUCAGUGAGAGAAUUAAAGUGAAAUCUAAUUGAAGGAGUCUCUGUACAUCACCGGUUAGAGAAUUGACUAUAAGUUGAAUCUCUAAUGCGAGGAAAUGAACCAUCUGACCGGAGCUAUGUCUUUUGCAUGAGGAACCACCCCAGUGAACCUAAAUCUCCAAGGAAUGCUUUUCUUCCUAAAUUAUUCCAAACUUCUGUUAAGUUAGUUAGUUUAAGUCUAAACCUUUACCAAUCAAACUUUGUGUUUUAUUCCUUAAGCUAACCGUGAAAUGAAACAAAACCAAUUCACUUGGAAUUGGUAUCCUUGAUUGCUUGCAAAUCAUUCCCAGUGAACGAUCCUUAGAGCCACUAUACUAUAGUAGCUUUGUAUUUGCUACCCUAGUGUAUGGUGUUAUAGGUAUAAAUUUUGUUGAUCACUUCCUCAAUCAAGGAACACCAGCUGAACACAAAUCAGCUGAGACACCAAUUGGGCAUGAGUCAGUGCGUUAGAGGAUCAAGAAGAAGAAAAAGAAGGAACUGUUGGAAUUAGUAUGAGUGUGAAGAGAAAAGUAUAUAAAUAAGGGGAAGUAAAAGCAAAGUUCAAAAAGCUAUAUUUUUUUAUUGUUGGUGUAUGGUUGCAUGAUUAUCCCUAUAAAUAAUAGGAGUUUUUUGGUAUUCUACUAGUAGUUGAAGCAUAAUUUCAUAAAUUAAUAUUUAGAGCGGGGUGGGGUGAGUUGUGACAAAAUUCAUACCCGUCCCAAACCUUGGUUCAGAUUUUUAAAAUAUUCUCAAACUUAUCAUAUACCCAACUUUUAUAUUUCAUACUUGUCCUAAUAGAGGCACGUUAGGCCGGGUUACUUGAGUAACCUACAUAAUUGUCAUCCCUAGUUGAAAUACACUUUUUGGCAGUGGCCACCAACUGAGCUAGAAGCUUGAUUGAUUGACCUACAAGAUUAGUUCUCAUCAUUUUAAAAAAAGUUCUGGCUUUGGUUGUGAGUGCAAUUGAAUCUAAACUGGCAUUUGCUUAAUGCAUCUACUUCAAUCCUAAACUUCUUACUUCUUAAGCCUCAAUUGUUGUUAGGAUUUUGGAAAACCCAUUUCCUUAAAUUGUAAAUUUAAGAUAAAAUAAAAUAAAAGUGAGACAUUUCUUGAUUGAAUAUUGUUAAAGGUCCCUUGGCAUUAAGACUUGGUUGAAGCCUUGGAAGAUUAGUGGAACUCUCAACAUGUGUUUGAAUCUUGAGGAGAGUGGAUGUAAGCCAAAAUUUUGUCAAACCAUUAUACAAAUUGAGUUUGAAUCCUCAUUUCUUGAUUUCUUAUUUAUUUGCUUUUUCUUAUUAUUACUUGAAUUGUCAUUUGCAUUCAUUAAUGUUAAAAUUGGUUAUAAUUAACCAACACUAAUUCUCUUUCCCCUUCCCUUUCUUGGGUGUAAACCUAGGUUGGAUUAACUAGAUAAAUCUAUUAAGAUGGUAAAAGAAUAAUUAUUCUUAACAUACAUAAGAUCAUCUUCAAUCAAAUGACUCAUUGGCUAAUAUGUUGAAUUUGCUUAUUACUUGCAACUCAAAAUUGUGUUCUAGUUGUGUCAAGUCCCCAGUGUAUGGACAUUAAAUUUGUAGUACGUGAUGAGUAAUUAGAUGGUCCAACUCCAAGAAAGUGAUUGAAAAGUAGUUCAAGAAAGGUGCAAAAGGGAAUUGUUUUGGUAUUUUCGUUUUUAUUCUUGAAGGUGGCAGAGCUAAAAUUUGAGAAAUCAAGCAAAACAUACUGAAAUUACAUUGAAAGAAAGAAGAUGGGAGUUAAUGUCUUGCAGUACAUGAUAAGGACUUCAUGCAUGUAGUGUGACCCAUGUCUUGGACUGAUGCCAACUCACGGUUACACUUAUACCCUUGGUUCUCUCUUUACUACCUUGGCUAACCUAGAUCAGGCUAUGAGAUAGGCUCCUCACCACACCAUUACUUGCCCAUUAAUUAGAGACAUUUUCAAGCAAUGAGGUAACAUGGUGACACCAAGAGGGUCUAUUCCUCGCCCGGAACAAGUCUAGACUUGGUCUCAAAAAAAUGGAGAAAAAUGAGGUGUCGUUAUGUAGAAAUACAACAACCAUGCCUUCCUCAUUACUUAGAUUCAGAAUGUGAAGGUGAAAUUGAGAAACAGAAACUCUUGAAACCAAAAUGAAAAUUGAUACUUUUACGAAGAAUUACAACAACAUUAGAGGAAGACUACAUUCUUCCUCUUUAUUCCUACAUUUCUACACUACUUCUACUCCACUCCAUAUUUCUACAUACAUCUUUAAUCAGUCUUCCCUCCUUUAUAUAGAGCCAUCUUCACACAAAUUUCGCAAGGUAGAAAAGAGGAAUGAAACUUGGAGCAAGGUUCGACUACUGGUUGUAGCUUGUCAAGGCUGGAAGUGAACUUUUCUUGGCUUUCUGGGCAUGGGUAGUAACUUGUGGGUUCCUGUUUGGCAUAAAAAUGGCUAGAACAUGUGGCACUAUCUUGUUGGAUGAUGUGUCAAGCAUGUGGCAGCCAUCUAGUGGCGAUUAUGUCAAUUUUGGGAUGGAGAGUUGGCAUCCAAUUGCAAAGAAAUAUGACGUCUACCAACAUGCAAUGUAAACCUAUGUAGAUCAUAUGAAGAUAGAGAGGAAAAAUAUAGAAAUGGAUAUAUACCUAGAACUAGCUUUUUAUUAAAUGAAACGGAGAGACAACAAUGAAGGAAAAUAAAAUUUUUUGGCUUAUAUCAAAGAGUUCACAUUGUGUUACCCUAGGUUUUCUUAAAACUUACUUUUAUGAUAACAAAAAAGAAAAAACCAUUAUUGUUUAAUCCUUUGUUUUAAACGCAUGUAAGGUGUAAUUAAGUUAGUUCAAUGCAUUAAUUUAAGAAACUUGACCUAUCAAAAGUACAAAAUUAGAUGAAAUCCAUUUCAAUGGUUAAAAUGAUCAAAAUCAAACUUUUUCUAAGUAUUUUUUAAAAGCAUCAAUAGUGAAAGACAAUUUUAUAUUUAGUCGGAGUUUGGACAAAACUGAAAAACACACAAAAUCCAAGCGACCAUCUCUAGCUUGGAUGGUCGCUUGAUCCCACCUAGAGAUGUGCAUGAGUAAAAGGAUUUGAAAAUGGAAAUUGACUAUGUAGUCGAUCAAUUAACUUUGCAACAUCAUAUGCAAUCCUAAUUGCUAGUCAUCUAAUCAAUUAGGUAGUCAAUCAACAGGCCAAAAAUAUGUUUAUAAUGACUAUUUUGUACAAAAACCACCUGUAUAGUUAAAUAUAAUGCAUUUCAUUUAUAAAUCUUCUAAUUCUUGAAUAACGAUCCUAUCAUCCUUUGAAAGUUUUUAUUACACUUUUUUUACUUUUGUUCUAAAACUUACACAUCACCCUUAAUUGUACCAUGAGAACCUAGCUAUUUUUUAUUUUUUUUUUUGUAAUUCAUCAAAGUUAGCUUUUGUAUUCAUUGUUGUAUUAUUUUUAGUAUAACUUAGAAAGCUAGUGUUUUCAAGUGAGUAAAAUUAACUUGUAAAUAUUGUAAAGAUUCAUCGACAUGUAUCUUAAACUAAGUGUACAAGUUAAAACAUUUGCUAGUAGAUUUUCUCAAAAUUUAGAAUAGAGCUUGAGACUAUUGAAAUAGGUGGGGUUGCACCAAACCACAUCACAUCGUUGUUUGCACCUUUUUUCACUCUCUUUUACUUAGUUGCUCUAUAUUUGUUGUCUAGUAAUAUCCUAUAGGCUUGAUGGGUUAGGGAGCAUCCCUUUGUGAAAAAAUUUUAUUCAAUCCUUAGUUGUAUCACGCAUAUAUAAAAUGCCUCAUUGUUUUAAUGGUAUUCAGUCGUGGCAUCACAGAUAUGGGCAUCUAAAUUUUAAAAGUUUGAAACUUUUAUCUAAAGAAAAUAUGGUGCUUUGCCUUUUUGUAAAGCAUGUUGAUGAAAUCCAUGAGAAUUGUGUACUUGGGAAGCAACACCGAGAUGACUUUUUUUUUUUUUUUAUAAUAUUGUUUGUCCAAAUUCCCUACAAAUUAGGCCACCAGAUGUUCAUAAUUCUCCCUUCUUGAAUUUGAAAACUCGGACAAUUGGACAAUGCGACACCUAAGUCCGGUUUCUAAAUGCUAAAGUGAAAGGGUAGGUAUGGACCAUUGAAAUGUGAUCACAACUUUUCUCUGUAGCCAUGUUGUCUCUUUUUUCUUUUGCAUGAUUUUCUUACCUUAACAGAAUCAUAGACUUGUUUAGUCUCUAAAUGGGAUUAAUUUCAUCCAGCUUUAAGCUACUAUAUUAUAUCUAGGUGGAGGACUUUUAAGAGUGCAACCGACAUAGAGCACAUGGAAGUGGGUAUAUGGGACAUGAAAUUUCUUCUUAUAAAGAUUGCAUGAUUUUUAUAUUAGAGUUGUUGAGGCGCUAUGUAUUUAGCUUGUUUUGCAGUUAAAUUAAUUGGAUAAGUAGACAUUGGCGUUUCUAAAUCUACUGUGAAGUGCUUCAUGUACGUGUGAAGUAUUAGAAAUUUCUUUCUUGGCAACUUGUUUUUCUUUGCGGUCUACUGAUAGGUUUGACUAAAAUUAUAUUCCCUGUCAUGCUAAUUAAUUUUCACGUGCAUGCUCAAAAGAAAAGUAUGACCUUAGUGCACCAAAAUCACUUUGAUUAAUUUGUGAUAGGUUUUUGUGCAUCAUGACAUUAGCCUUAUUCAUUUAGAUAAUGUUUAGUUUUUAGAAAGUAUUAAGAAAAGGAAAAUAAAUAUUAAGAAAAAUAUUCUUAUAUUUGAUUGUAUUAUGAAAAAUAUCAUAAAAAAAUCAAAUAUAAUUUAAAUUAAUUAAUAAUUUAUACAUUUUCAAAUUAUUUAAUCUUUAUAUUGAAGAUAUAAUAUAAAUGAAAUGAGUUUUAAGUAUUAUAUAAAAGUGAUUUAUUGAUCUUACAUAUAUAUAUUUCUUUUUUUUUUCCUUCUAUUUUUUCUCUUUAUUUUAUUUUCCUUAUGUUUUCCUCAACAUUUUCCGGAACCAAACAUAGCCUUAGGAAAUCCACAAUUACCUUCAACUGAGUAGAUUCUGUUGUUUUAGCAAUGUUAGGCUGCUAACUUGUGUUGGUACGAACCUAUUAAGCCUAAAGAUGUAAUUAGUUAGGAUAUUCUUUUCCCUCUAGUCUUGUAGCUCCACGUGUACAGUUGGUUAGGACCUCAUUGUAUAUAAUGCUUGCCCUGUUAUUGUAGAAGACAACAAAGAUAAAUAAUAUUAACAUUUUUCCUCUCAUCUCUCUCUGUUUCCCUCUGUUUUCAUCUCCUCUCUCAUCUUGGUAUCAGAGCCUCCAUGGCUUCUUUCAAAGAAACCUCCGAAUCACCUUCUGCUAGCAUUGUUAAUGUGCAAAACCCAUUAUCUCAAUCAAACAACCUUCCUUCACCAGUAGCCACACCCUCUUUUUCUUUCUCGUCUAUGAAUCAACCUCUCACAGUGAAGCUGGAUAAUGGGAACUACCUCAUAUGGAAGAAUUAGCUUCUAAAUGUCAUCAUUGCUAACGGACUCGAUGAUUUCAUUGACGGAUCUCGACCCUGCCCUCCUCGAUUUCUCGAUCUGCAACAACAAACCCUCAAUCCAGAGUACUCAGCUUGGCAGAGAUACAAUCGACUUCUGAUGAGUUGGCUGUACGCAUCCUUGUCCAAAGAUAUAAUGGCUCAGAUUGUUGGGUAUUCAACAGCUAUGGAGAUUUGGAAUGCCCUUAAUCAGAUUUACUCUGCCUCUUCUAUGGCGCGGUUUACUGAGCUUCGCACCAAGCUUCAAACGCUCAAGAAAGAUGGACUCUCAGUUGGUGAAUAUAUUCAAAGGCUCAAAUCCAUUUGCAAUAGUCUUGCAGCAAUAGGAGAACCAGUUUCUGAGAAAGACCAUCUUAUCUAUUUGUUCAAUGGAUUAGAUUGUGAGUAUUAUUCUUUUGUUACCUCCAUUCAAAAUCGAUCUGACCAACCAACUAUUGACAAAAUCCAUAGCCUAUUGCUUAGCUAUGACUUCCGGCUUGAACAACAAAACUCUGUUUCUCUCCAUUCUGCCCAAGUCCAUAUGGCUCAUCUGAACAAGAAACCUUAUAAAUCAACUCCUCAACCUACAUUCAAUCAUAUUCACAUUCAACCUAGAUACUCUUCUCCACCUUUUAAGCCAACCACUAGUCAAUAUCAACCCAACAUUUUGGGCAAACCACAACCACAACCAUGACAGCCUCAACCUCAAUGGAAACCACAUUUUUCAAUCUAAAAUCAAAAGCCUCAGCGCCAAAUUUGUGGUAAAUUUGGACACACUGCUCUUAUUUGCUUCCAUCACACAAAUUUGAACUAUUCACCCCAACCUUCUCCUAAAUCUUUCAAUACUGUUCUCACCACAAAUUCCCAGCUCCCUAAUCCUCCAAAAUUUUCUUACCCUACAAUGGCUCAUCCUGCUGCUACGCAUAACACGGUUCCCGAUACAAAUUGGUACAUGGACUCAGGUGCUACACAUCACUUUACUCUGGACAUCAACGUGCUUGACACUGUGACACCAUUUAGUGGUUCAGAACAGGUGACAGUUGGGAAUGGUAAGCAACUCUGUAUCUCACAUCUUGGUACUGCAAAACUACCAUCUUCGUAUUCUCCUCCUGUUCUACAUCAGGUAUAUCACACUCCAAAAAUUUCAAAUAAUCUUAUUAGUGUUAAAAAAUUGUGUUCUGAUAAUAAAGUUUUUGUUGAAUUUUAUGCCACUCAUUUUCUUGUCAAGGAUCAGGUUUCGAAGAGAGUUCUCCUUUAGGGUCAACUUGAUAAUGGCUUAUACAAAGUUCAGUCGUCAUGCUCUCCUUCUGCUGUUUCCUUUCCUCCUCAAGUUUUCAUAGCCAACAUCAAGUAUCCAAAUCUGUGGCACAAGAGACUAGGCCACCCAGCUUUAUCUGUUGUUAAUCAAAUCUUGGAUUCUUGUAACAUUGCUCGAACACAGAAAAUUUGUUUUAAUUUUUUAAAUUCUUGUCAAUUAGCAAAGAGCCACAGGCUUCCUUUUUCUCUGUCUCCAUCCAUUGCAGAAAAACCUUUUGAGUUAAUUCAUACAGACCUAUGGGGUCUUUCGCUCGUUCGCUCUAUUUCUGGUGCUCUUUAUUUUUUACUUUUCAUUGAUGAUCAUACUCGUUUUACUUGGUUUUAUUUGCUCAAAACAAAAGAUGAAGCAUAUCCUACUUUUCUCAAGUUUCAAGCUCUCAUUGAAAAUCAAUUUAAUACCAAGAUUAAGGCUGUCCAAUCUGAUUGGGGAGGUGAGUUUCGAUCUCUCUCCAUACCGUUUUCAAAUAUGGGCAUUGUCUAUUGUUUAUCGUGUCCAUACACCUCACAACAGAAUGGGCGAGUUGAGCGAAAAAAUCGCCAUGCGAUUGUCCUUUCUUGCUUGCUCUAUGCCCUUAUCUUAUUGGCCUUAUGCCUUUCAAACUGCCACUUACCUUAUUAAUCGUCUCUCUACCCCUGUGCUGCAUCAUCAAUCCUCUUACUUCGCACUCUAUCACAAACUCCCAACUUAUACUCAUCUUAAGGUCUUUGGUUCCUCUUGUUUUCCGUAUUUGCACCCUUAUAAUACCCAUAAACUCCAAUACAGGUCACUAGAGUGUGCUUUUCUUGGUUACAGUUCACACCACAAAGGUUAUCUAUGUCUUGACAUUCAUUCUAGCAGGGUGUAUAUUUCUCGCCAUGUGAUUUUUAAUGAAGAUUCUUUUCCAUUCAAGAAUUUGAAAUCUUCUCUCUCUCAGUCUAUUUCUUCUUCCUCUUCUUUAUAAGUUCCUCUGUUCAUUCUCUUGCCUCCCCUUUCCCCAUCUCCUCUUAUUUCUUCAUCUAUACCUCAUUCUUUUCCCUCUUCUUCUUCUACCUCUAGUACUUGUUCCCCUCUCGUUGCUCCUACCUCUCUUCCUUCCUCUUCACACUCUGUGUCUCCAUCUAUUCCACCUCCUUCUCCACCUUCUCCGAGUGUGGACCUGCUUGCACCUUGUGUGAAUACAAAUUUACAUACUUCUUCUCGCACUCACAAUAUUCAUCCUAUGGUGACUAGAUCUAAGGUUUGUAUCUAUAAACCUAAGUUGUUGUUGAGUGUCUCCAUAGGUUCUCUCACUAAGCCUACUUCCUUUCUUCAAGCUAUUAAAGAUCCUUCAUGGAAGCAAUCCAUGGAAUUCGAGUUUGCUACCCUUCAACACAACAAGACCUGGCAUUUGGUUCCUUCACCUUCCUCAGGCGAAGUAAUCGGUUGUAAAUGGGUCUAUAAGCUAAAGCUUCAGCCUGAUGGCUAAAUUGAGAGAUACAGCCUGCUUAGUAGCUAAGGGUAUCAUCAAAUUGAAGUAUGGACUACUUCGAAACAUUCAGCCUGAUNNNNNNNNNNNNNNNNNNNNNNNNNNNNNNNNNNNNNNNNNNNNNNNNNNNNNNNNNNNNNNNNNNNNNNNNNNNNNNNNNNNNNNNNNNNNNNNNNNNNAGCUUCAGCCUGAUGGCUAAAUUGAGAGAUACAAGGCCUGCUUAGUAGCUAAGGGUUAUCAUCAAAUUGAAGGUAUUGACUACUUCGAAACAUUCAGCCUGAUUGUCAAGCUUUCUACUAUCUGUAUUGUGCUCAGUCUUACUUUUUCCCAGAAUUGGUGUAUUAGACAGCUGGAUGUUCAUAAUGCCUUCUUACAUGGUGACUUAGCUAAAGACGUUUUCAUGGAACAACUGCCUGGAUUUGUUGAUCCUCUCUAUCCUACUCAUGUCUGCAAGUUGGAUAAGUCUCUCUACUGUCUUAAAUAGUCACCUCGGGCUUGGUAUACUAAGCUGAGUACUUCUCGCUACACUUGGGAUUUGUUACUUCUAAGAAUGACUCUUCCUUAUUUAUUUGUCAUUCGUCUCAUGGGUUACUUCUUGUUCUUGUCUAUGUGGAUGAUAUAAUCGUCAUUGGGAGCCACUCUCCUCAGGUUACUCACCUUAUCCAACAGUUGCAUCAUUAGCUUUCUUUAAAGGAUCUUGGUCCUUUACAUUAUUUUCUGGGCUUGGAGGUUCAUCACACCCCUACUGGUAUUCACCUCAGCCAAGCAAAGUAUAUCACUGAUCUCCUUACCCGGGCGGCUAUGUUGGAUGCCAAGCCAUGUCCCACUCCUAUGUCCUCCAACACAUAUCUCUCUUUUCAUGAUGGAGUGGCUCUUGAAAAUGGUUCAGAUUAUCGAAGUUUUGUUGGUGCCCUUUAGUAUUGUACCAUGACACGCCCAGAUAUAGCUUUUGCAAUAAAUAAAGUGUGUCAAUUCAUGCACCAUCCCUCUAAUGUUCACUGGCAGGCUAUAAAACGUAUUCUCCGGUACUUAAAGGGCACAUCUCAUUUUGGUCUCUUCCUACAGCCUUCCUAUGACUUCAACAUCACUUGCUAUACAAAUGCCGACUGGGCUUCCUGUCCUGAUGACAAGUGUAGCACCAGUGGCUACUGCCUCUUUCUUGCCUCUAAUCUGGUUUCUUGGUCAUCUUCCAAACAAAAAGUGGUCUCCCGCUCCAGCGCCGAAUCAGAGUACCGAGGGGUAGCAAAUGGGGCUGCUGAAAUUGCUUGGACUGAAUCUCUUCUUUGUGAACUUUCCAUUACUCCCCCUCCCCUCAUUCUCUGUGACAAUAUCAGUGCCACGUACUUAGCUGCCAAUCCUAUUUUGCAUGCCCGCACCAAACAUGUGGAAAUCGACUAUCACUUUGUCACGGAACGUGUUCUUCAAUGCUCUCUUUUUGUCCAGUUUACACCUUCUGAUGAUCAACUUGCUGAUUGCAUGACCAAGCCUCUCUCCACCCAACGUUUCAUCACUCUACGCUCCAAGCUCACUGUUCUCACUAGACCAAUGAGCUUGAGGGGGGAUGUUAAGCCUAAAGAUGUAAUUAGUUAGGAUAUUCUUUUCCCUCUAGUCUUGUAGCUCCACGUGUACAGUUGGUUAGGACCUCAUUGUAUAUAAUGCCUGCCCUGUUAUUGUAGAAGACAACAGAGAUAAAUAAUAUUAACAUUUUUCCUCUCAUCUCUCUCUCUGUUUCCCUCUGUUUUCAUCUCCUCUCUCAUCUGAACCAAAUGAUCCAUGUUAACCUUGGCUUGGUUUGAUUUGGCUCUAUCUUAGAGAGCUCAAGGAUCACGUCAACUCUGGUUUCUACUAUUCAGGUCCAUUCCCAUAUGAACUGGUUCAAAUUUGAGAAAAUGGUAACAGACCUUUAGUGAUGUUGGUUUGGAGCCAGUUGCCAAACCCGCCCUGAGCUUUACCACUAAUGUCAAGGGAGAAAGCCAUUUGAACAAAAACAAUAGCUUCAAGGGACUGAAUCGUGGAUGAAAUCUGAUCCACAUUUCUUCUCAUUUUGGAAACAAAUGAGAACUUAACUAAGAAGAUUCUACGGCCUCAUAGUGCUUUUCCUGAUCUAAGGUUGGUUCGUUUCCCAAACUGUGAGAUGCACGUGCCAGACUUCAGAACUCUCACGCUCAGGAGUGUAUCCACGUGGUGGACAUAAGAUGGUGGCUUAAGAUCUGGUGUCGGUGGCUUUACUUUACUAGGAGAGUAGUGUGUCUUCAUCUCAUUCACUGCCGGAGGGUGGCGUAAGCAGUGACGCUAAGGUGGGGCACAGUCAAUAUCAUUUGCAUUUGACCAUUAUAGUUUUCUCCCGGCUUUAAAGUAACCUUAUCGUGAUAAAGGAUUACUAGCACUAGUUCAGAUGAUAGUCAUGUUAAAUUCGGACCAUGUUUGUGUCACAUUAUCAGCAACCAUGUGUUUAUGGUUCAUGCUUUCUGCAACUAAAAUUGAUAUAUAACCAGGUGAACUUCAAUCUAAAUUCUGAAAGUACUCAUGUGAUAGAUGGUGCCCGUCUGCAGAGUCCAUCAAUUGAAAAAUGGAGUGAGUGUAUCUAUAAGAGGGAAGGCUUGGAAAAUGUUCAGUUUUCUGGGAAUUCAACAAGGAUCUAAAAUAGAUUGUUUUCUUUGCUGAUUUCAAUGGUUGAAAUUUGAGAAGAUUGUGUCCACAUAACACAACUAUUACUGGUCCUUCUGUUGCAAUUUAUCCUCUAAAGCUCUAGCAUGUCUUCCAAUUCCCACUUCCCUGUUACUCCAGGAAAGCUAUUUCUGUCAUUGUGAAGAAGAAAAGAGAAUGUACAUAUCGAUGCUUUUAAGUGACUGGAGCAUUUAUAUCAGGUGGUCUGCAGCCAUAUAUGCCACUUUGUGAAGAUUGGAACAGUCAAUCACUAGGCUAUAUAUUAGUGUGGCCCAGCCACUUUAAUCAAGGACAAGUCUUCAUACUUAAAGUCAAAUUCUGCCUUUAGUCUCAUUAUAAAUUUCUGUUUAAAUAUUAAGCAAACAUUUGUUUAAUGCGAUUAAGACAGUACUAACUCAAUACCUGUUCUAUUUUUGGAUGCAAAUGCUUGAUGGUUUCAUCAUUGGAUGGGAUAAAGGUGCAUUCAUGAUUAGGAAUACUAGUAGUUAUAUUUUAAUUCUCUUUUUUCUCAAUGAGACUUGUUGGCACAAUUUUGCUGUUGAGAAACCUACCUCUCCAUGGAAAAUAAGUUGUGAUUGAUAGUACUGGAUAUAUUCAAGAAAUCUAAAUAUAGAUAGCACAAAAUAUUAUCGACAUAAAUAGCAUUAACAGCGUACGUAUGUCUCAGUGCUCAUCAGCUAUAAGCAUGGGGCAAACACUUACUAUGAGCAACUUACGUCAAAAUUCCAGAAUAGGACAUAGAAGUGACAGAUAUAGAACAUUGCAUAUGAGUCACAAGAAAGGAAAUUACGGGUGCAUAGCAGCUCUUAUUUUACAUACUACUACUCAUACUGAUCAAAGUCACUCAGUUGGGAUGGGUGGGAGUAGGAGGUUUGUGGGGUGGCUUGUGCGGAGGAGUUGGCAGCUUCUUUCCAGGACCUGGUUGCUUCUCUGCUGGAGUUGAAGGAGGCUUAAUCUUCCGAGGUGGCUUGUAUGAGUCUUCAGCAUUCUCAGCUGGAGGGUGACCAGGGUUGUGACCAUAAUGUGGUGGCUUCUCUCCCUUAGGUGGUUUGCCAACUGGGGUUGGUGGCUUGUAUGAGUCUUCAGCAUUCUCAGCAGGAGGGUGACCAGGGUUGUGACCAUAAUGUGGUGGCUUCUCUCCCUUAGGUGGUUUGCCAACUGGGGUUGGUGGCUUGUGUUCUGGGAGUGGCUUCUCCCCCUUGGGAGGUUUUUCCAAUGGGGUUGGUUUGUGUUCAGGAGGUGGCUUCUCCACUGGAGGCUUGUGUUCAGGAGGUGGCUUCUCCACCGGAGGCUUGUGUUCAGGUGGUGGCUUCUCCACCGGAGGCUUAUGCUCUGGUGGUGGCUUCUCGAAUGGGGGAUGCUUAGGAUAAUCAGCAAGUGAGGGGGCGGUGAGAACCACCAGGCCAAGCAACACCACUAGCAAAUAUGUAGGAGACAUCUUUGGGUUUGGGCUCAGAUGGUGCAAAACUAGGAGAAUUGGCUAGCCUUUUAUAGCGGAUCGUACCCAAUAAUGAAAUGACACGUGUCAUUAUGACCCAUGUGUAAUGGGGUCGAUUUGGGUCCUACAGUGUUGAAAACUUCGACAUCCACUUUUGGCCUUUUGCUUUCUCUACAGCCGCCUUGCUUUUUCCCUCUUUCCUUUUGUUUUCCUCCUGCCCCAUUCUAUCAACUAAACACAAUUAUGUAGUUGUUUAAUUCUUAAAUGAGAUAUUAUCCGUCAAUCGUAUUAUAUUUUAUCAAGAGAGAACGGAGUGCAAUGUGGCUGUAAUUUUAUCGUUUAGUUUUAUCUCUUGGACCACUGCAUUUUUGUUAAGAGGUGCAAUAAUACACGUCUUUAUCUGCCAUUCAAUAUUUACAGUAAAGAGAGGGCACAAAACUCUUCACUUCGCACCAUAAUUAUUUUGUUUUCUGGACACCCCGGGGCCCUUUGGUUGGUUUGGGGGUCAGAAAGUGAACAUCAUAGGGGGUUUUUCCCUUAUGUGCAUUUGUAUCUGAUGGCUUUAACUCGCCUUGUUACUACAAAGAAACUGUCACAGAUAGGAACUUAUUCCAGGCUGAGUAUCUCCUCAUAGACCCUAUAAAAGAAGACAAGUCAUAAUGAACAUCUAACCUUUGUUCAAUUUGAUUCAAUGCCCCCAUUGUGUCCAUCUCACAAAUCUGAAUUAUUAUAUCCAUUGAAUACAUAAAUUAAUGAAGAAAAUAUGAAACCCAAGAUACAUCUCUGCACAACCUCAACCCUGGUUGCUAUGUUUCCCUUCUAUUCACAUGAUUUGAUGCUAAUUGCCAAACUUGCAACAAGCCCUGAGUUUGACACCUAGUAUCGAUGGGCGAAUUUAAAGUCUCCUCCAAACAUAUAUUCCACAGCUUGAAGCUCACAGAAGAUGUUACAGGCAGGGAAAAACCUUCAGAGUUCGCUACCAAAGAUAAUUAUUAAGGAGAUAUCACAAAGAGAAUUCCAAGGGGUCUGAAUCAAAGACAAAUUGGUCGUUCGUGGGGGUUCUUACUUUCUUUUGGGUAUAACUCACUGAGGGCACUGUCUUUGUUAUUUGCAUUUCACAUUUAGAGUUCUGUUCUGGAAACAUAUAAAAGGAGCAUCAUUUUGUUCUUGGGUAACCCAUAGUCGUGAGUGGGUCCAUUUGCAUGCUACUUAGUUGAAAAGUUGGACCAUUUGCUCCGACGCCUACCUCCCGGAUUCCAUGCUCGGAUAAAACAAGAAUAAAAAAAAUAUUUAUAAUUUACAAAUGGGGGAAAGAAAAAAAUGUCAACAACAAACCAGGAAAAAAGAGUAGUAAAAUUCAUGUCACAUGCUAGUGAGAGAAGGGGUUGUUACACUCACUCGAAGUUCUUUCCAAAAUAUCGCAUGGUAUUUUAUUUUAUGUGUCAGCGCAGUUGUGAAUGGAACGUGCAAAAGUCCAAAUUGGCGUUUUUCCUUUUCCCGUGUAGGAUGGCGACCUUUAAUAAAUAUUUAAAACAAAAAACGAAAAAAAGGAGGGAAAAGGGAUCAGAAAAGAUAAAACAAUGUGUACAAGAGCUCAAUUAGUUUGCAAAUUACUGUUUGGAUUUUGAUAGUAUUUUAUUUGUCCAUCUAUAUUUGAUGGAAAAGAGAAUUUAAGAUAUUUCUGAAACAAAAGCAUUAGUGUAAAACUAAAUUAAGGUAUAAUUAAGUUAGUUCAAUGCAUUAAUUUAAGAAACUUGAUCUAUCCAAAGUACAAAAUUAGAUGAAAUCCAUUUCAAUGGUUAAAAUGAUCAAAAUCAAACUUUUUCUAAGUAUUUUUUAAAAGCAUCAAUAUUAAAAGACAAUUUUAUAUUUAGUCGGAGUUUGGACAAAACCAAAAAGCACACAAAAUCCAAGCGACCAUCUCUAGCUUGGAUAGUCACUUGAUCCCACCUAGAGAUGUGCAUGAGUAAAAGGAUUUGAAAAUGGAAAUUGACUAAAUAUUUAGUUGAUCAAUUAAAUUUGCAAUGUCAUAUGCAAUCCUAAUAGCUAGUCAUCUAAUCAAUUAGGUAGUCAAUCAAGUGUUUGUAAUGACUAUUUUGUACAAAAAACCACAUGUAUAGUUAAAUAUAAUGCAUUUCAUUUAUAAAUCUUCUAAUUCUUGAAUAACGAUCCUAUCAUCCUUUGAAAAUUUUUAUUACACCUUUUUUACUUUUGUUCUAAAACUUACAUAUCACCCUUAAUUGUACCAUGAGAACCUAGCUAUUUUUUUUUUUUUUGUAAUUCAUCAAAGUUAGCUUUUGUAUUCAUUGUUGUAUUAUUUUUAGUAUAACUUAGAAAGCUAGUGUUUUCAAGUGAGUAAAAUUAACUUGUAAAUAUUGUAAAGAUUCAUUGAUAUGUAUCUUAAACUAAGUGUACAAAUUAAAACAUUUGCUAGUAGAUUUUCUCAAAAUUUAGAAUAGAGCUUGAGGCUAUUGAAAUAGGUGGGGUUACACCAAACCACAUCACAUCGUUGUUUGCACCUUUUUUCACUCUCUUUUACUUAGUUUCUCUAUAUUUGUUGUCUAGUAAUAUCCUAUAGGCUUGAUGGGUUAGGGAGCAUCCCUUUGUGAAAAAAUUUCAUUCAAUUCUUAGUUGUAUUACGCAUAUAUAAAAUGCCUCAUUGUUUUAAUGGUAUUCAGUCGUGGCAUCACAGAUAUGGGCAUCUAAAUUUUAAAAGUUUGAAACUUUUGUAAAGCAUGUUGAUAAAAUCCAUGAGAGUUGUGUACUUGGGAAGCAACAUCGAGGUGACUUUAUUUUUUUUUCCUUUUAUAAUGCCACACCUAAGUCCGGUUUCUAAAUGCUAAAGUGAAAGGGUAGGUAUGGACCAUUGAAAUGUGAUCACAACUUUUGGCCUUUUCCUUUCUCUGCAGCCAUGUUGUCUCUUUUUUCUUUUGCAUGAUUUUCUUACCAAAACAGAAUCAUAGACUUGUUUAGUCUCUAAGCUACUAUAUUAUAUCUCGGUGGACUUUUAAGAGUGCAACCGACAUAGAGCACAUGCAAGUGGGCAUAUGGGACAUGAAAUUUCUUCUUACAAAGAUUGCAUGAUUUUUAUAUUAGAGUUGUUCACGUGCAAUGUAUUUAGCUUGUUUUGCAGUUAAAUUAAUUGGAUAAGUAAACAUUGGCAUUUCUAAAUCGACUGUGAAGUGCUUCAUGUACGUGUAAAGUAUUAGAAAUUUCUUUCUUGGCAACUUGUUUUUUCCUUGCCAUCUACUGGUAGGUUUGACUAAAAUUAUAUUCCCUGUCAUGCUAAUUAAUUUUCAUGUGCAUGCUCAAAAGAAGAGUAUGACCUUAGUGCACCAAAAUCACUUUGAUUAAUUUGUGAUAGGUUUUUUUGCAUCAUUUAGAUAAUGUUUAGUUCUAAGAAAAAUUUAUAUAAAAAUGGUUUAUUUAUCUUACAUAUAUAUAUAUAUAUAUAUAUUUUUUUUUUUUUCAUUUUUUUUUCUUCUAUUUUAUUUAUUUAUUUUAUUUUCCUUAUGUUUUCCUCACAUUUUCCGGAACUAAACAUAGUCUUACGAAAUCAACAAUUGCCUUCAACUGAGUAGAUUCUGUUGUUUUAGCAAUGUUAGGCUGCUAACUUGUGGUGGUACGAACCAAAUGACCCAUGUUAAUCUUGGCUUGGUUUGAUUUGGCUCUAUCUCAGAGAGCUAAAGGAUCACGUCAACUCUGGUUUCUACUAUUCAGGUCCAUUCCCAGAUGAACUGGUUCAAAUUUGAGAAAAUGGUAACAGACCUUUAGUGAUGUUGGUUUGGAGCCAGUUGCCAAACCCGCCCUGAGCUUUACCACUAAUGUCAAGGGAGAAAGCCAUUUGAACAAAAACAAUAGCUUCAAGAGACUGAAUCGUGGAUGAAAUCUGAUCCACAUUUCUUCUCAUUUUGGGAAAAAAUGAGAACUUAACUACAAAGAUUCUACUGCCUCAUUCAUAGUGCUUUUCCUGAUCCAAGGUUGGUUCGUUUCCCAAAUUGUGAGGUGCACGUGCCACUCUCACGCUCAGGAGUGUAUCCACGUGGUGGACAUCAGAUGGUGGCUUAAUAUCUGGUGUCGGUGGCUUUACUUUACUAGGAGAGUAGUGUGUCUUCAUCUCAUUCACUGCCGGAGGGUGGCGUAAGCAGUGACGCUAAGGUGGGGCACAGUCAAUAUCAUUUGCAUUUGACCAUUAUAGUUUUCUCCCGGCUUGAAAGUAACCUUAUCGUGAUAAAGGAUUACUAGCACUAGUUCAGAUGACCGUCAUGUUAAUUCGGACCAUGUUUGUGUCACAUUAUCAGCAACCAUGUGUUUAUGGUUCAUGCUAUCUGCAACUAAACUUGAUAUAUAACCAGGUGAACUUCAAUCAAAAUUCUGGAAGUACUCUUGUGAUAGAUGGUGCCUGUCUGCAGAGUCCAUCAAUUGAAAAAUGGAGUGAGUGUAUCUAUAAGAGGGAAGGCUUGGCAAAUGUUCAGUUUUCUGGGAAUUCAACAAGGAUCUAAAAUAGAUUGUUUUCUUUGCCGACUUCAAUGGUUGAAAUUUGAGAAGAUUGUGUCCACAUAUCACAACUAUUACUGGUCCUUCUGUUGCAAUUUAUCCUGUAAGGCUCUAACAUGUCUUCCAAUUCCCACUUCCCUGUUACUCCAGGAAAGCUAUUUCUGUCAUUGUGAAGAAGAAAAGAGAAUGUACAUAUCGAUGCUUUUAAGUGACUGGAGCAUUCAUAUCAGGUGGUCUGCAGCCAUAUAUGCCACUUUGUGAAGGUUGGAACAGUCAAUCACUAGGCUAUAUAUUGGUGUGGCCCAGCCACUUCAAUCAAGGACAAGUCUUCAUACUUAAAGUCAAAUUCUGCCUUUAGUCUCAUUAUAAAUUGCUGUUUAAAUAUUAAGCAAACUUUUGUUUAAUGCGAUUAAGACAGUACUAACUCAAUACUUGUUCUAUUUUUGGAUGCAAAUGCUUGAUGGUUUCAUCAUUGGAUGGGAUAAAGGUGCAUUCAUGAUUAUGAAUACUUGUAGUUAUAUUUUCAUUCUCUUUUUUCUCAAUGAGACUUGUUGGCACAAUGUUGCUGUUCAGAAACCUACCUCUCCAUGGAAAAUAAGUUGCGAUUGAUAGUACUGGAUAUGUUCAAGAAAGCUAAAUAUAGAUAGCACAAAAUAUUAUCGAUAUAAAUAGCAUUAACAGCGUACGUAUGUCUCAAUGCUCAUCAGCUAUAAGCAUGGGACAAACACUUACUAUGAGCAACUUACGUCAAAAUUCCAGAAUAGGACAUAGAAGUGACAGAUCUAUAUAUAUAGAACACUGCAUAUGAGUCACAAGAAAGGAAAUUACGGGUGCAUAGCAGCUCUUAUUUUACAUACUACUACUCAUACUGAUCAAAGUCACUCAGUUGGGAUGGGUGGGAGUAGGAGGUUUGUGGGGUGGCUUGUGCGGAGGAGUUGGCAGCUUCUUUCCAGGACCUGGUUGCUUCUCUGCUGGAGUUGAAGGAGGCUUAAUCUUCCGAGGUGGCUUGUAUGAGUCUUCAGCAUUCUCAGCUGGAGGGUGACCAGGGUUGUGACCAUAAUGUGGUGGCUUCUCUCCCUUAGGUGGUUUGCCAACUGGGGUUGGUGGCUUGUAUGAGUCUUCAGCAUUCUCAGCAGGAGGGUGACCAGGGUUGUGACCAUAAUGUGGUGGCUUCUCUCCCUUAGGUGGUUUGCCAACUGGGGUUGGUGGCUUGUGUUCUGGGAGUGGCUUCUCCCCCUUGGGAGGUUUUUCCAAUGGGGUUGGUUUGUGUUCAGGAGGUGGCUUCUCCACUGGAGGCUUGUGUUCAGGAGGUGGCUUCUCCACCGGUGGCUUGUGUUCAGGAGGUGGCUUCUCCACCGGAGGCUUAUGCUCUGGUGGUGGCUUCUCCACCGGAGGCUUAUGCUCUGGUGGUGGCUUCUUGAAUGGGGGAUGCUGAGGGUAAUCAGCAAGUGAGGGGGCGGUGAGAACCACCAGGCCAAGCAACACCACUAGCAAAUAUGUAGGAGACAUCUUUGGGUUUGGGCUCAGAUGGUGCAAAACUAGGAGAAUUGGCUAGCCUUUUAUAGCGGAUCGUACUCAAUAAUGAAAUGACACGUGUCAUUAUGACCCAUGUGUAAUGGGGUCGAUUUGGGUCCUACAGUGUUGAAAACUUCGACAUCCAGUUUUGGCCUUUUGCUUUCUCUACAGCCGCCUUGCUUUUUCCCUCUUUCCUUUUGUUUUCCUCCUGCCCCAUUCUAUCAACUAAACACAAUUAUGUAGUUGUUUAAUUCUUAAAUGAGAUAUUAUCGGUCAAUCGUAUUAUAUUUUAUCAAGAGAGAACGGAGUGCAAUGCAGCUGUAAUUUUAUCGUUUACUUUUAUCUCUUGGACCACUGCAUUUUUGUUAAGAGGUGCAAUAAUACACGUCUUUAUCUGCCAUUCAAUGUUUACAGUAAAGAGAGGGCACAAAACUCUUCACUGCUCUGCAUGUGUCCCAAAAAUGCGAUUGGACAAAUUAUGAUUUGCAUGCUAAAAAGAGGCAAAUGAGGUUAAUUCGCACCAUAAUUAUUUGGUUUUCUGGACACCAUAAAAAGAUGUUAUACAGGCAGGGAAAAACCUUCAGAGUUAGCUACCAAAGAUAAUUAUCAAGCAGAUAUCACCAAGAGAAUUCCAUAGAGUCUGAAUCAAAGACAGAUUGCUCGCUCGUGGGGGUUCUUACUUUCUUUUGGGUAUAACUCACUGAGGUCACUGUCUUUUUUAUUUGCAUUUCACAGUUAGAGUUCUGCUCUGGAAGGUUUGUUCUGGAAACAUAUAAAAGGAGCAUCAUUUUGUUCUUGGGUAACCCAUAGUCGUGAGUGGGUCCAUUUGCAUGCUACUUAGUUGAAAAGUUGGACAAUUUGCUCCGACGCCUACCUCCUGGAUUCCAUGCUCGGUAAAACAAGAAUAAAAAAAAAUAUAUAAUUUACAAAUGGGGGAAAGAAAAAAUGUCGGAAAAAAUAGUAAAAUUCAUGUCACAUGCUAGUGAGAGAAGGGGUUGUUACACUCACUCGAAGUUCUUUUCAAAAUAUCGAAUGGUAUUUUACUUUAUGUGUCAGCGCAGUUGUGAAUGGAACGUGCAAAAGUCCAAAUUGGCGUUUUUAUUUUUCCCAUGUAGGAUGGUGACCUUUAAUAAAUAUUUAAAACAAAAGACGAAAAAAAAAAGGAGGGAAAAGGGAUCACAAAAGAUAAAAUAAUGUUUACAAAAGCUCAAUUAGUUUGCAAAUUACUGUUUGGAUUUUGAUAGUAUUUUAUUUGUCGUUCUAUAUUUGAUGUAAAAGAGAAUUUAAGAUAUUUCCGAAGCAAAAGCAUUAGUUUGCUCUGUGAUGUCCCACAUCGAAUAGGGGAGAAAGUUUCUGGCGCUAUAUAUGUAGAGGCUCCUCUUAACCAAGUAGAUGCGUUUUAAAACCAUGAGGGCCCCCUUAGGUCCAAAGCGGACAAUAUCUACAUGAUUGGGUGUAAGUCAUUACAAAUGGUAUCAGAGCCGAUCCCCGACCCCGGUGUGGGGGUUUGUUUGGCCCUGUAAGGGGUGUUUGUCUGUUUGACCCCACAAUCCCAUGGGACACAACGAGGACGUUGUGUCUGCAUGGGGGGGCGUUUGUGAUGUCCCACAUCGGAUAGGGGAGAAAGUUCCUAGUGCUAUAUAUGUAGAUGUUUCUCUUAACCAAGUAGAUGCAUUUUAAAAUUGUGAGGGCCUCUUUGGGCCCAAAGCGGACAAUAUCUACAUGGUUGAGUGUAAGUCAUUACAUGCUCCAUGUCAAUUUCAGCAUUUCUCAUAUGUUUCACACAUACACAGAAGAGCAUCGUUUUUUAAAGCAUGCAUUUAUGUUGGAUUAAUUUGGAUUUUGUGGGAACUGGGGCAAGGAUCACAUGGAAGAGAGGUUGACUUUUUUCAGUACUUCAAUGGUUGAAAUAUGUGAAGGCUUGAUUGAUACUAAAGCUUGAAAUUGCGACUCUGUCAUUUGUAAAAAAAUAUGACAGCUUCCAUGCUCUCGUUUGGUUGCAUUGUCCGGUCGAGAGGUGCAAAAAGCAUUCUCUCUCUUCUAAUAGUCUUUUCGUUUAAAUCAAGGGAUUUGCCUUCCCGGUCGAGGUCCAAUAGAGGGUAACGGUCACCUACUAAACAUUAAAUGCUCCAACAACUAGUGAACUGAUCGACCCCAGCUCGACUAGUUGAGGUUACUUUUUGGUUUUCUUGUCUCCCGAGGUUAGAAACCUAUAAAUAGAGAGCUUCACUUCAUUUAUGAGUAAGAGAACACCUAAAUUUAUUUGUUUACCUACUUGUUUUUGCCAUAAAAGCUCUCAUUUCUUUUCUUGGUGUAUUAAAUCUCCAUUUGCAUAUCCUUUAGUGCACCUUUGUGAUUCAUUCUAGCCUUGAGUUGUAUUUAAGCCUUUGUUGAGCUAGGUUGAGAGUUUCAUACUUGUUUAUUGAGUGUUAAAGCCUUCAAGUGAGUUAAAACUUGAAGAGAUUGUGUAAGAGCCCAUUGGAGUCGGAAUCCAAGUGUAAAGGUGAUUAAAAGCUUGGUUGAAGCUUCAAGUUAGUGGAACUCUCACUCGGUUAUGAGCUUGAGAAGAGUGGACAUAGACAAGGCAGUGUCGAACCACUAUAAAAUCUGAGUUUGAUUUCUCUAACCUUAUCUCUUUAUAUUUGCUUCUCUUGUGCUUAAAUUUUUUGUGUUUAAAAAGAAUUUUUAAAAACUCAAUUCACCCCCUUCUUGGGAGUUUUUCUCUUUUAAGAUCAGCUUUUAUUUUCUCAAUUGGUAUCAGAACUAUGCCUCUUGUUUAAGACUUAAUCGUCUAAGAGGAAAUGGCUAAUCCAUCAAGUUCAUCUCACAUUGAAAGUUUUGCAACCAAUAGACUUCUUUUUUUUUUUUUGCGGGAACUGAUUAUCCCUAUUGGAAAACUAAAAUGACUUGGUUUUUACAAUCAAUUGAUUUAGAUGUAUGAGAUGCCAUUGAAGAUGACCUAACUUUUCCUUCAAAACUAGUUGAUGGAGUCAUGGUUCCAAAACCUAAGCAAGAAUGGGAUGAGCGUGAUUGAAGAAAUUUUCAAUUAAAUGCUAAAGUCGUUUAUACUUUGCAAUGCUCUAUGGACAGAAAUGAAUAUAAUAGAAUAUGUCAAUGCAAAUCGGUUAAAGAAAUUUGGAGAUUGCUUGAAAUAACUCAUAAAGGAACAAAUCAAGUUAAAGAGUCAAAAAUCAAUUUACUUGUUCAUAGAUAUGAAUUGUUUUUUAUGAAAGAUAAUGAAACUAUUGUUAAGAUGAUCACUAGGUUCACCAACAUUGUUAAUGGUCUUAAAGCCUUGGGAAAGACCUACAAGGAAUCCGAAAACGUGAUGAAGAUCUUGAGGUCACUUCCAUCAAAGUGGCAUACCAAGGUCACCGCAAUUUAAGAAGCAAAAGACUUGAUCAAGCUACCUUUGGAGGAGUUCAUAGGGUCAUUGAUGACAUAUGAAAUCAAUUUGGCAAAGAAGUAACAAAAAGGUGAAGACAAAAAGAAGAAGAACAUAACUCUCAAAGCUACAACUAAGGAAGAAGAAGUUGAAGAAGAAAAACAAAUUGAAGAAGAUGAAGAUUUAGCCCUCAUCACAAGAAAGUUCAACAAAUUCAUGAGGGGUGAAAGGUUUAGAAGAAGAAGGUUCACUUCUAGAAGAGACUUUUCUAAAAAGGAAUCUUCAUCUAAUGGUGACAAAAAGAGAUGGGAAGAGAAAAGAGACUUGGUGUGUUUCAAGUGCAAGAAACCGGGACACAUUAAAUAUGAUUGUCCUCUCUACAAAAGUGAAGUCAAGAGGAAAAAGAAUAAGGCAAUGAUGGCCACUUAGAGUGAAAGUGAAGAUGAAUCAUCCGAAGAAGAAAAUGAGAAAGAAGUGGCAAACAUGUGUUUCAUGGCAAUAGAUGAACUUGAUGAGGUAAAAUCUAACCUUAGUGAUUAAGAUAUACAUGAUGCAUUUGAAGAAUUGUAUGAGGAUUUUUAAAAACUUAGUUUGAAAAAUAUUUCUCUUAAAAAGAAAGUUCAACAACUUGACAAAGAACUUAGAGAAGUAAAAGAAAAAUUUUCAAAUGUUAAAGUUUCUAAAACUCAUCUUGAAAAAGAAAAUGAGAUUCUAAGAAAGAAAAAUGAAUAGUUGAACUCCUCUCUUUCAAUCUUUUCUUCUAGACAAAAAUCUUUUGAAAUGAUUCUAACUAGCUAAAAAUGUGUUUUUGACAAACAAGGGUUAAGAUUUAAAUCUUCAAAAAAUCAAAAGUAUUUUAAAAACUAUUUUGUAAAGGAAUCCACAAGUGCAAGUCCUUCCACUACUUGCAACUUUUGUGGAAGAGAAUGGCACAUUAGUAGUACGCCCUUUAAGAAAUGGUUCUCAAAAGAAUUUAAAUGCAAAAACUAAAAAAGAUUUGGAUUGAGAAAUCCAAGGUCACUAACCCUCAAGGACCCAAAAAGAUAUAGGUACCUAAAUCAACUUGAGUUUUAUGUUGUAAGGUUCAAAGAAUGAUAAGUGGUUCUUAGAUAAUGGUUGCUCAAGACACAUGACCGGAGAUGAAUCCAAGUUUGCUUUUCUUAAAAAGAAAAAUGGAGGAUAUGUUACCUUUGGAGACAAUGCAAAAGAAAGGAUGAUUGGUCAAGGCAACAUUGGUAAUGGCACAUCCUCUCUCAUUGAAAGUGUUUUAUUAGUAGAUGGUUUCAAACAUAACCUUUUAAGCAUUAGUCAAUUUUGCGACAAAGGUUUUUAAGUGAUUUUUUAAGCAUCUCAUUGCAUCAUCAAGGAUAUUCAAAAUGAUAAAACCAUUUUCAUGGGCCAUAGAUGUGAUAAUGUUUAUGCUAUAAAUAUUUCAAAAUAUGAUGGCCAUGAUAGAUGUUUUUCAAGCAUGCAUGAUCAAAGUUGGUUGUGCCAUAGGAGAUUGAGACAUGCUAACAUAGACCUCAUUUCCCAACUCAACAAAGAUGAACUUGUUAGAGGCCUUCCCAAAAUAAUUUUUUAAAAAGAUAAAGUUUGUGAAGCUUGUCAAGUGGGAAAGUAAAUCAAAAACUCUUUUAAAAACAAAAACUUCAUUUCCACAUCUAGGCCACUUGAGUUGUUGCAUAUGGAUUUAUUUGGUCCCUCUAGGACACCAAGUCUUAGAGGAAAUUCUUAUGCAUAUGCUAUUGUGGACGACUUCUCUAGAUACACAUGAGUCUUGUUUUUUAGUCAAAAGAAUAAAGUUUUUUAUGAGUUUUCAAAGUUUUGCAAUAAGAUUCAAAAUGAAAAAGGUUUUUCAAUUACUUAUAUAAGAAGUGAUCAUGGGAGAGAAUUCGAAAAUAUUGAUUUUGAAGAGUAUUGCAAUGAGCAUGGAAUUGACCACAAUUUUUUGGCUCUUAGAACUCCUCAACAAAAUGGGGUAGUUGAAAGGAAAAAUAGAACUCUUCAAAAAAUGACAAGAACCAUACUAAAUGAAAACAACUUACCAAAAUAUUUUUAGGCCAAAACGGUUAACACUUCUUGUUAUGUUUUAAAUAGAGUAUUAUUGAGGCUCAUACUUAAGAAAACUCCCUAUGAGCUUUGGAAAAACAAAAAACCCAACAUUAGUUAUUCCAAAGUCUUUGGAUGCAAUAUUUUAUAAUAAACACCAAAGACAAUCUUGGAAAAUUUGAUGCAAAAUUGGAUGUUGGAAUUUUCCUUGGUUACUCAACUUCAAGUAAAGCUUUUCGAGUUUUAACAAAAGAACCAUGGUUGUAGAGGAGUCCAUCCAUGUUAUUUUUUAUGAAUCUCCAAGAAAGAGAGAGGAUUGAUGAUGAUUUAGGUUUGAAGACCUCUAUAGGAAGAUUGCAAAUCGAAGAUAGAAGACAACAAGAAGAAAAUGGAGAGAAUCCAAAGAAAGAAGGAUCACCAUUGGCACUACCCCCUCAUCAACAAGCGCAAGGUGAAUCAAGUCAAGAGCUUCCUAAAGAAUGGAAGUUUGUCAUCAAUCACCCACAAGAUCAAAUUAUAGGCAAUCCAUCUAGUGGGGUAAGAACUAGAUCCUCUCUUAGAAAUAUUUGCAAUAAUCUAGCUUUUAUCUCUCAAAUUGAGCCUAAAAAUAUAAAUGAUGUUUUAGAUGAUGAAAAUUGGAUAAUUGCAAUGCAAGAAGAGUUAAAUCCAUUUGAAAGAAGUGGAGUAUGGGAAUUAGUACCAAGACCUUCAAAUCAAAGUGUUAUUGGAACUAGAUGGAUCUUUAGAAAUAAAAUGGAUGAAAAUAGCAUAAUUGUUAGAAAUAAAGCAAGAUUGGUAGCCCAAGGUUUUAAUCAAGAAGAAAUGAUAGAUUAUGAAGAAACCUUUGCCCCCGUAGCUAGGUUGGAAGCCAUUAGGAUGCUACUUGCCUUUGCAUGUUUUAAAGACUUUGUUUUAUAUCAAAUGGAUGUGAAAAGUGCUUUUUUAAAUGGUUUUAUAAAUGAAGAAGUAUAUGUUGAACAACCACCCGGUUUUCAAAGUUUCAACUUUCCUAACCAUGUUUUUAAACUUAAAAAGACACUUUAUGGUUUGAAACAAGCACCUAGAUCAUGGUAUGAAAAAUUGAGUAAAUUUCUUUUGAAAAAAAUGUUUUAAAAUGGGAAAAAUUGACACAACUCUUUUUAUAAAAACCAAAGAAAAUGAUAUGCUCUUAGUUCAAAUAUAUAUUGAUGAUAUCAUUUUUGGUGCUACUAAUGUCUCUCUUUAUGAAGAAUUUUCUAAGUGCAUGCAUAGUGAGUUUGAAAUGAGCAUGAUAGGAGAACUCAACUUCUUCCUUGGACUUCAAAUCAAGCAACUAAAGGAAUGAACCUUCAUCAAUCAAGCAAAGUAUAUAAGAGAUCUUCUCAAAAGGUUCAACAUGGAAGAAGCCAAAACAAUGAAGACUCUAAUGAGCUCAUCCAUUAAGCUUGAUAAGGAUGAGAAAGGUAAAUCCAUUGACUCUAUUAUGUAUAGAGGCAUGAUAGGUUCUUUGCUCUAUUUGACCACUAGUAGACCUUACAUUAUGUAUAGUGUGUGUUUGUGUACUAGAUUUCAAUCUUGUCUUAAAAAAUCUCACUUAAGUGUCGUGAAAAGAAUCCUCAAAUAUUUGAAAGGGACAAUGGACAUAGGCUUAUGGUAUCCUAAGAGUGAUAACUUUGAAUUAAUUGGUUUUUUGGAUGCUGAUUUUGUCAGUUGUAGGGUUGAAAAAUAAAACACUAGUGGCACUUUUCAUUUCUUAAGACACUUACUUGUCUCAUGGCAUAAUAAGAAGCAAAAUUUGGUAGCUUUGUCAACAGCAGAAGCUAAAUACAUAGCAACUGGUUUAUGUUGUGCACAAAUCCUUUGGAUGAAAUAAACACUUAGUGAUUUUGAUUUAUCUUUUGAGCAUAUUCCUAUUAAAUGUGAUAAUAGUAGUGCCAUAAGUAUAUCAAAAAAUCUCGUGCAACACUCUAGGACUAAGCAUAUAGAGAUUAGACAUAAUUUUCUUAGAUAUCAUACACAAAAGGAUGAUAUAACACUUGAAUUUGUAAGCAUAAAAGACCAACUUGCCGAUAUCUUUACAAAACCUCUAAGAACAUUUUGUUGAUAUUAGAGGACAAUUAGGAGUGAUUUCUUUAUGAUCUAAUGUGAUGAAUUCUUGAUGAAUAUACUUUUUGAUUGCAUGAAUUUCAUGUCAUAUAUGCAUCAUAUAGAAAUAUACUUAGAUAAUGGUCAAAUUUCGACCAAAAAUCAAAAUUCCCAUGGCAUUAGGCAUAAAAAUUUUGGAAUUUCAACUGAAAAUGGUAGGAGGAGGAUCACAAAAUGAGAAAGUAUGCAAAAAUUGAAAAAUCAAAACGUUGACCAAGCGGUCAAUCGGACUAGACCGAUCGACUAGUUUGUCGAGAUUUAGGAUUUUUAAGAGACUCCAACGCUUCAAUUUUUGCACCGUUCUCCUCUAUUUCUUCACGGUUUCUCUGAUUUUGUCUUUUAGAGACUAAUUUGAGUGCGUUUUGGAUCAAUUGAAGCAUUUUGGAUUGGAUUUUAGGAAGAUUGAAAGUUAAGGUUUCGGAUUUGGGUCGCCUUCUCUUCCUCUCGCGUGUCACAAUCAGCUUUAGCAUUGUUCUCUUUCCAUUUUCACACACCUAGGGUUUCAGUUGUGAGCAUCUCUCUCUCUUUACCAACCACUACUCCCUUGCUUCUUCCAUAUGGCUCCUAGGCGAGAGUCCGCUACUUCUAGGGCACAAGGCAAGCACCCAACUGAGUCGUCUCAGUCAAAGGCACGUCGAAAAGUGAGAUUUGACAUUGCCUUGUUCAGUUCCAUGGAGGACUACCAACUAUACAAGCAACACUUUGCUUAGAGACGAGUAGUUCCCAAGAGAAAUAUUAAUUUUCCUCAACUUCAGCAUUUCGAAUUUAAGGGUCUAUUUACUAGGAUGGUUGGUUGUCUAUUGUCACAAUUUCGGAGCCGGUUUUCCUGACCUUAGUGCGAGUUUUUUACUCGAGGGCGACUUAUGGCAUGGGUGGCAUGAUCAUUUCUACUGUUGGAGGAGUUGAGAUCUGUCUGGACCCAGAGAGCAUCUGCCAUAUUUUCGAUAUUGCUCUGGUUGGACUCAAAGUAUACAAGUCCAAAAUGUGGCCCAUUGUGCCAGGAUUUGAGCUUAGAGAGGUCAUUCAGAGGAUUUGUGAACUUCCAGACGCCCAGGAGAUGGGCAAACCAUUGCCACACAGUUUGACGGUCAUCAACAGGGUGCUACACCAUAUAUUGUGCUCUAUCUUUCUACCACGAAGUGGACAUUGAGAUGAGGUCUCUUAUUAUGAGGCAUUCCUUAUUGACUCCAUUCUAACGGAGAGACGAAUUCAUCUACUAUGUCAUCAUUCACUAAGCCUCCUCACAGUGACAUACCACCUCAUCAGGCACCUCUUGCUCCUGACCAUGCUCCAUUGAUGGAUUUAUUUACUCAUAUUAGCUCUCUAGGCACUCGCAUGAAGGAGUUUGUUGUAGUUAGUGAUACAUGGUUCUACUCCAUAGAGGAUCGCAUGGAUCAGUAUCAGACUGGCUUCACGUCACAGUUUGAGUAUCUCCAAUAGAGGAUUGAGCAUAUUGAGGAUCACUUGAGCAUGAGAAGAUGAUGGCUUUUCUAUGCUCUGUGUUUCCACCUCCACCUCGUCAACCUUGAUUUCUUAGAGACCCAUUGUUUUCAUUUUGUAAUGUUGCCAAAAGGGGGAGAUAUUUAGGAUCUAGGACUCUAUAGGAGACUUACAUGCAUAUCAUUUUCAUAUCAUUGUUUGGAUCGUACAUAUUGGAUAGUGAUACUUUUUACUUAUAUAUGAUAUGCCUAUAUGUUUCAUGUCUUACAUUGUUUCUUAUUGCAAAUUAUCUCUAACAUGUCUUGAUUAUCUUUUUUUUAACUUCAUAAAUUUUGAUUGUUAACCCAUGAUUGGUUUGAGGGGAAGAUUCUUCUUCUCCUAGAUAACCAAGGUUUGUCAUCAUAAAAAAAUUGGAGAUUGUUAGCCCAAGGGUUCUCCUAAUCAUGUUUUGAUGAUAACAAACCAUGCUUAAGUUACUAAUUGGUUUGAAUUAUAAAGAAUUUCAAGUGUUAAUUUGAAAAUUCAUCAAAGAACCUAAUGGAUGCAAGAUCAAGAUUUUUGGAAGACCUUUAAUCAUAAGAAACAUAUGUAAGAUGAAUGCAUGGGUGCACUUAAGAUUUGCAUAUCAUUUCAUGCAUAUUUGGAAAACACGGUUUAUGCUUUAAAGUUACAUUUCCAUCAAAAUUUGAGAUCCAUCAAAUGAACCUUAGGAAAAAUGUUUUAAAAUUGGCAUAUAAUUUUACCUAAAGACCUUGCCUAAGUGUUAGAAGCAAAAGGACAAAAAAAAUAUAGGUUUUCUGGUCAAAAAUGGUGAACCAGUCAAGGCAUUGUCUAAAUCAGCUCAAUCGGCCAAGGUACCGGUCGAUCGGUUUCCCUUUCCCUGUCGAGAUCUAGUCAAGAGGUACAAAAAUCACAAUCUCUGUCUCUUUCUCUCUUUGUCUAUCUUCCAGUAGUCUUUCCUUCCCGGUCGAGGGAUUUGCCUUCCCGAUUGAGGUCCGAUUGAGAGUAAUAGUCACUUGCCAAAUAUUAAAUGCUCCAACAGUUAGUGAACUGGUCGACCCCCACCUUGCCCAGUUGAGGUUACUUUUUGGUUUUCUUGGCUCCCGAUGUUAGAAACCUAUAAAUAGAGAGUUCCACUUCAUUUAUGAGCAAGAGAACACUUGCAUUUAUUUGUUUACCUACUUGUUCUUGCCUUAAAAGCUCUCAUUUCUUUUCUUGGUGCAUUAAAUCUCCAUUUUGAUAUCCUUUAGUGCACCUUUGUGAUUCAUCUUAGCCUUGAGUUGUAUUUGAGCCCUUUUUUUAGCUAGGUUGAGAGUUUCAUACUUGUUAAUUGAGUGUUAAAGCCUUCAAGUGAGUUGAAACUUGUAGAGAUUAUGUGAGAGUCGAUUGGAGCCGAAAUCCAAGUGUAAAGGUGAUUAGAAGCUUGGUUGAAGCUUCAAGUUAGUGGAAUCCUCACUCAAUUAGGAGCUUGAGGAGAGUGGACGUAGCCAAGGAAGUGUCGAACCACUAUAAAAUUUGAGUUUGAUUUCUCUAACAUUGUCUCUUUAUAUUUGUUUAUCUUGUGCUUAAAUUUAUUGUGUUUAAAAAGAAUUUUUAAAUACCCAAUUCACCCCCCUCUUGGGUGUUUUUCUCUUUUAAAAUUAGCCUUUAUUUUCUCACAAACUAUUGUAGUAUAGUGGUUUUUAGGUGUCAUCCAUUAGGAUGAAUUGUUCUCGGUAAUUAAGGCGUGAAUGAGAGGAGAAUUAAUGAUUGUGAUUAAGUAAAAUUGAUUUGAAAAUUCAUGGUGAAAAAUCAAUUUAACAAUGGUUUCUAAUUGAGAAAAACAAUGAAAUGUGAAAUAAAAUAAAAUUAAUAGGAAAUGAAAUUCUCGAAGUUAGAAUUUUCUAAAAAACAAAUUCCAUGGUGAAUGGAUGUUGAGAUCUAAUUUUCAUCAAGUUAGAUUGAAAACCGAAAUUUUCAUAUAAACUGAUUUUUUAUUUAGUUUUAGGUCUAGAUUUAAUUUCCCUUAAAAUUAGGUUAUUUAAUCCAAGAAAUCAAUUCAAAUCAUAUAUUCAAUUCAUCUUAAAUUAUCUUCCAAUUAUUCACACAAUGCAACUAUUCAAUCUCAUCAAAUCUAGCUUUUAAGAAUUUAAUGAAUCUACCUAGUUUGCAUUGUAAUAGUCAUCCAUGACAAUUUGAAGAGAAAAAUAAUUCAAUUAAUCAAUCACUUGGAUCAAAUUACCUUUGCAAUUAAAGUUCAUUUCUCUAAUUCACCACAGAUUUUGUCUCUAGAUCCUCCUUUCUCAAAGAAAAAUGAGAUUUAGCCACACAUGAUUGGAGAUUUGGUCUCAUAAGGCAUGUUUAGCUAGUGAUAAAAUGAGAGAAAAUAAAGAAAAAUAGAGAAUUCGAUUAAGAAAGAAAAUCUAAAAAAUUCUACAAUUAGAAAUGUCCAAAAAGCUUUUUCAUGAGAAAAUCAAGUUUCUAUUUAUAGGCCAAGGUCAAGUGGACACUUGACAUCAUCUAAGAGGUCUUCCGGAAGCUUCUUCAUCAAGAAAUCUGGAGUUUAAUAAUAAAAUGGUCAUUUCACAAGAGCUCAAACAAUUUCGCAUGAUUAUGUGAAAUAAAAAAUGCAACAACAGCAAUUUACAUCUUCUUGGAGCAUUUCGCAUGACUGUGUGAAAUUUUCACAUGAUCAUGUGGAAUCGACUUGACAACUCUCAUUUAGCCUACAACAUAAUUCCACCUUUUGGUCCAUUUUUCAUAGUCAUGCGAAAUGGAAAUAUUUGAUUUUUAAGUUUUCUUUUGUCAUUUCUUUCAUUUCCUUCUCUUGAUUCCACUUCAACUACCUCCGAAUCCUGGUCCAAACCAAUUGCAUUACUUCUUUCAUUAUGCAUUUGGAUCAUCAUCAACAUUAUUUGUUCUCUUCAAUUUGAUUCAUCUCUUUUGUCACCAAUUUAUCAAAAUCAUACCUUGAAAUGACUCCAAAACUUCAUAAAACUUGUUAGUAACUCUUGCAAGGGCAACAACAUAUUAAUUAAGUGUUUUAGGCAUAGUUACUACUCAAAAGAUGCGAAACUCAUGAUAAUUAUUAUAUAAAAUAUGCUCUUUUUGAGUAGUAAUCAACUUUCUUGCAUAAGCAGACCUUUUAGGGUGGAGUACUAAAGACCAAUAUGCUUGUCCUUGUUGUAAUAAAGAAACUUGCUCUUAUUGAUUGCACCAUGGGAGAAAAUUUUGCUACAUGAGUUAUCAUCAAUUUCUUCCCACCAAUCAUAGAUUUAGACGUGACAAGAGGCCUCUUAAUGGCAAGGAGGAACUGACACUCACACUUAUACAAUUAUCGGGCAUUGAUGUGUUGCAACAAUUAGAAUAACUUACACCAAUUAUGUUGGGGAAGUCACAAAAGGCAAACAUGAAAACUAAAAGGAAAAAAGAAAAAUGUUACAUAUCACCACAACUGGAAAGAAAAAAGUAUUUACUUUCAUUUGCCAUAUUGGAAAGCACUUAUUUUACAUCAUAAUAAUUUAGACAUAAUGCAUAUUGAGAAAAAUGUGUGACAAUAUAAUUGAGACAUUGUUCAGUAUUGACGAAGAAACAAGGACAACCUAAAUAGUCAUCUCGAUUUACAAGCUCUAACUAUUAGAAAUGAGAUUCACCCAAUAGAAAGCAGGACCAAAUUUAUUUUGCUUGCAACAUGCUACUCACUCACCCCAAAUGAGAUUAAGGAAUUUUGCAAGUUUUUGAAAUCAAUAAAGGUCCCCAAUGGCUAUUCUUUCAAUAUCUCUCGUUAUGUGCAACUCAAUGAAAGGAAGAUAUAUGAGCUCAAAUUGUAUGAUUGUCAUGUCCUAAUGCAACAACUUCUCUCACUUGUAGUUCGUGGAGUUCUACAUAAGAAUGUUUGUGGAGUUAUCAUAGAAUUGCGUAAUUUUUUCAAGCAAUUGUGCUCAAAGGUGUUAGAAACAAAUCACUUACACCAACUUGAGAACAAUAUUAUUGUCAUACUAUGUAAAAUGGAGCAAAUAUUUCUUCCAUCAUUCUUUGAUAUUAUGGUGCAUUUACUUGUGCAUCUAGUAAGGCAAAGGUUGCAAGACUUGUGCAAUAUUGUUGGAUGUACCUAAUUGAACGAUAUUGUUAUAAUUUCAUAUGAAUCAUUUAAUUUUAUUUUAUAUUAUGUUCAGUUCAUUAACAUGUACAUUGGUCUACAUAUGGAUGAUGAUAGGUACCUAAGCACUUUAAAGUCAUAUGUGCGUAAUAGAACUUUUCUAGAAGGUUCUAUUGUAGAAAGGUACCUUGCAAAAGAAUGUACAACAUUUUAUUCUAGGUACUUGAAUGAUGUGGAAAUAAAGUAUAAUCACAAUGAUAGAAACUUUGUUGGUUUCAACACUAGAGGAGAUGAAAGGGGUUAUCUUUAAACAUAUUGGACAUGCAUUGGGAAAGCCCAUAUUUCAUUAACUUAGUUCAAAAGAGUGGUCACAAGCACAUUUAUAUGUGUUGACAAAUUGCGAAGAUGUCAUACCAUUCAUUGAGUAAAAAAUUUAUUUGAAUUUUAAUUAAAGCUCUAGUUUAUAUCCUUAAUCAAUGUUUUUUAAAUUCACAAGGAGCACAAGCAAACCAUCAAGGCUAGACCACAUAUACGUGUUUGAGACGUAGAUUUAAUUCAUAACAAGGAAUUUAUCAAGUGGUUUGAAAGACAUGUAAGUAUAUUCCUUAUUAUAAGGGAUUUAUUUCACAUUAUGUUUAUAUUGAAUCCAAACCUAUUAUUGAAUUGUAGGUUGAACAAUUACAUAAUGAAGGUCAUAUAUCUGAACACCUUCUCACAUUAUCAUGUGUUCCAAAUUCAUUAGUUACAUGCUUCAAAUGAUAUAUUGUCAAUGGAUUUAGAUCCCACAUUAAAGAACGUGAUAAAAAAGUUUUUAAAAAAAGACUCAGAAUAAUGGAAUUGUUGUAGUUGCAAAAACGUCAAGCUUUACAAGUGCAUGUGAUAUGAGUCCAAUUAUUAGUGAUGCUCUCUACUAUGGUGUUCUAACUAAAGUUGUUGAGUUACAUUAUCUUGGUGAAAAUAAGGUUGUUUUAUUCGAGUUUGAUUGGUGGGAUGUUACAAAUAUUGGAAAAUUGAUAAAAGAUGAUGAGUACAAUUACACAUUUGUUAACUUUGCAUGAAUUCUAACCACGAACGAACGAUUUGUACUUGCAUCUCCAGCAAAGUAAGUGUUCUAUGUGAAGAAUGCGAAUGAAUCAGAUUGGCAUACUAUCAUGGAGAUGCAACCUCAAGACCUCUAUAAGAUGAACGGGAUAGGAUCCAAUGGUGAUUUUGAACCAUUUCAACAAAGUGAACUACAUGAUCACUAAUAUAUCUCAGAUUUAGUUGAUGAAGAUAUAAUCAAGUGGAACAAAAGUGAUGUUUUAGGACUAAUCAUCCUAAAAAAUAUUGUAGUUUCUUAAAAAAAAAAUGAAAAUGAAGAAGAUAAUUGAACCUUUGUCAUACUUUAAAAAGCAACUAUGCAUUGUUCAUUUUGUAUGUUUUGGUUUUCUUCAUUUAAUUUCCUGAUUUUUGUGAUUCAAUGUCAUAUUAUUGAUCUUGAAAUAUUUUUCUAAUUUUUCAUUCUACGAUGGUUUCAACAAGGAUGACAUCAAGUCAAAAAAGGAAAUGUGGUCCCACACACAAUAUUGCAUUACAGGGAUUAAGGUCAGGGAAGAAGGUAAAAGUUGCAUUUAAUGAGUACAAUCAAUUGGUUAAACAGAAAAAUGGAAAACACUUAUCGAGCUACAUAGGGACACUUGUAUCUAACCAACACAAUGUACCUCUCCAAGCUAGUGAUUGGAAAAAUGUUCCAAAUGAUGCAAAAGAGAAAGUAUGGCCUUUGUUUUGGUAUGUUGUAUUUCUCACUAUAUGAUGUCAUUUCACUGUUAUUCUAUUUUGUGACUAACGUUUGAAUCAUAUGUAAGAAAAAUUUGAAGUAGAUAAAGACUGAAAAGAUUACAUGUUGGGUAUAGCCUCAAAUAAAUAUAGAAGCUAUAAAAAUAUGAUGAAUGCAAAAUACUAUGACCCUUGGCAUAAGGAUGCAUGAGGAGAGGUUAAUACAUAAAUCACCAUUUGUCUCUGAUGUUGAUUGGAAGUGGCUUGUCUCUGAUGCAUAAACCAAAUCCCCCACUGAAUGUUUGAUAUUUGAUAGCAGGAAAAACACACCCGCAGCUAUACACCUCCAUCAUUCAGAUAAUUAUAGUGGGGGAGAUGAUUCAUGGUUGCCCUUAUACCCUUUAUUUGCACCAUCUAUUGAGAUUCUUUAUCAUGGCCAGGUUUUACUGCAGCAAUAAGAUAUGGUGGCAACAAUUUUAUCUAUAGGUGCGGUUCCAGACCGCCUCCAUAGGUGCGGUUCCUGACUGCCUCCAUAGGUGCCUCUUCUUGUAAUGUUUGUUCUGGGAAUUACACUUGAAAGCCUUAUCGUGAUAAGGGAUUACAAACACUAGUUCAGAGGACAGCCAUGUUAAACUUCCACUAUGUUUGUGUCACAUUAUCAGCAGCCUAGUGUUUAUUGGUCAUGCUAUCUGCAACUAAUAUAACCCGGUGAACUUCAAUCUAAAUUCUGAAAGUACUCAUGUGACAGAUGGUGCCUUUCAGCAGAUAUCAUCAAUUUAAAAGUAGUGUGUGUGCCUAUAGGUGGGAAGGCCUUGGCAAAUGUUCAGUAUUCCGGUAAUUCAAGAAGGAUAUAUCUAAAAUAGAUUUUCUUCUUGCCCAUUUCAAUAGUUAAAAUUUGAGAAGAUUGUGUCCACAUCACACAAAUAUUAUUGGUCCUUCUGUUGCAAUUUACCUCUGAACAUGUCUUCCAAUUCCCACGGUCCUGUUACUCCAGGAAAACUAUUUCGGUCAUAUUGAAAAAAAAAAUAUUAAAGAAGGUACACAUGCUUUUAAGUGGACUGGGGCAUUCAUAUCAGGUGGUCUGUAUCCACAUAUGCCACUUCGUGAAAGGUGGAACAGCCUAAUCACUAGGCUAUUUAGUGUGGCCCAGCCACGUUAAUCAAGCACAAGUCUUCAUACUUAAAGUCAAAUGGUGUCUUUAGUCUCAUUACACAUCGCUAUUUGAAGAUUAACUCAUCACUAGUGUAAUGCGAUUAAGACAGUCCUAACUCAAUAUUUGUUCUAGUUUUGGAUGCAAAUGCUUGCUGGUUUCAUCAUUGGAUGGGAUAAAGGUGCAAUCAGGACUAUGAAUACGUGCAGUAAUACUUCAUUCUCUUUUUUCUCAAUGAGACUUCUUGGCACAAUUUUGCUGCUCAGCAACCUACCUUUCCAUGGAAAAUCAGUUGUGACUGAUAGUAAUGGAUAUAUUCUAGAAAGCUAAACAUAGAUAGCAUUCAAUAUUAUCGAUAUAACAUUAACAGCGUAUGUCUCAAUGCUCAUCAGCUACAAGCAAUGGACAAACACUUUGAGUAACUCACAGCAGUCAAAAUUCCUAAACAGGACAGACGUGACAGAUCUAUAUAUAGAACACUGCAUAUGAGUCACAGGAAAAGAUAAUACGGGUACAUAGAAGCUCUUAUUUUACAUAUUACUCAUACUGAUCAAAGUCGCUCAGUUGGGAUGGAUGGGAGAAGGAGGUUUGAGGGGUGGCUUGUGCGGGGAAGUUGGCAGCUUCUUUCCGGGAGCUGGUUGCUUCUUUGCUGGAGUUGAAGGAGGCUUAAUCUUCCGAGGUGGCUUGUAUGAGUCUUCAGCAUUCUCAGCAGGAGGGUGACCAGGGUUGUGACCAUAAUGUGGUGGCUUCUCUCCCUUAGGUGGUUUGCCAACUGGGGUUGGUGGCUUGUUUUCUGGGAGUGGCUUCUCUCCCUUGGGUGGUUUGCCAACUGGGGUUGGUGGCUUGUGUUCUGGGAGUGGCUUCUCCCCCUUGGGAGGUUUUUCGAAUGGGGUGGGUUUGUGUCCUGGUGGUGGCUUCUCUCCCUUGGGAGGUUUACCAAUUGGGGUCGGUGGCUUGUGUUCUGGGAGGGGCUUCUCUCCCUGGGGAGGUUUAGUGGGUGGCUUGUGUUCUGGAGGUGGCUUCUCCACCGGAGGCUUAUGCUCUGGUGGUGGCUUCUCGAAGGGGGGAUGCUCAGGGUAAUCACCAAGUGAGGGGGUGGUGAGAACCACCAUGCCAAGCAACAACACUAGCAAGUAUGUAGUAGACAUCUUUGGGUUUGGACUCAGACAGUGCAAAACUACGAGAAAUCGCUAGCCCUUUAUAGCGGCUCGGACCUAAUACUGACAUAAUAUAAAAUAAAUAUUAUAUUUUAUCAAGAGAGAACAGAGUGUAAUUUUAUCAUUAAUACCGAUCGAGGCCAAAGAAAGAAGACCCAUAAUCCAUUUCCCACAAGCAUACACAAUGCAGCUGUAAUUUUAUCAUUUACUUUUAUCCCUUGGACCACUGCAUUUUUGUUGAGAGACACAAUAACACAUUUUUAUCUGUCAUUCAACAUUUACAGUAAAGAGAGGGCACAAAACGCAAUUAGAUAAAUUAUGUUUUGCCUGCUAAAAAGAGGCAAAUAACUUUAUUUGCAACAUAAUUAUUUUGGUUUCUAGUGACCCCGGGGCCUUUCGGUUGGUUUGGGAUCGGAAAAUGAACAUCAUAGGGGGGGUUGUGCCCUUAUGGGCAUAUAUAUCUGAUAGCUUCAACUGGCCUUGUUCCUAGAAAGAAAUUGCCAAAGAUAUAAACUUAUUCCAGGCUGAAAGUAGAUGAGAGUCAUAAUGAACAUCAACCUUUGUUCAGUUUGAUUCAAUGCCCCCAUAGUGUUCAUUUCACAGAUCUGAAUGAUUAUAUCCGUUGAAUACAUAAAUUAAUGAAGACAAAUAUGAAACCCAAGAUACAUCUCUGCAUAACAACCCCAACCCUGGUUGCUAUGUUUCCCUUCUUCUAUUCACAUGAGGAUACUGGUUAUAAUUGUCAAACUUGCAACAAGCCCUUUGACACCUAACGUCAAUGGACGAAUUAAAAGUCUCCUUCAAACGUCUAUUUCACAGCAUGAAGCUUAUAAAGGAUGCUGACAACCUUCAGAGUUAGCGACAAAAGAUAAUUAUCAAGGAGAGAUAGUUCCAUGAGAAUUCCAAGGAGUCUGAAUCAAAGACAAAUUGCUCACUCAAGGGUUCUUAUUUUCUUUUAGGUACAAAUCUCUUGAGUGUUGUUAAAGAAACACGUCACUGUCAUUUUGAUUUGCAUUUAACAUUUCACUUUUGUUCUGGAAGGUUUGUUCCGGAAACAUAUCAAAUGAGCAUCAUUUUCUUCUUCGGUGACACAUGGUCGCGAGUACGUGGGUCCAUUUUCAUGCCACUUAGUUGAAAAGUUGGAAAGAAAAAACAUGCCAACAAGAAGAUAGUGAGAGAAGGGGCACUUCAAGCCUUUAACAUGAACAAACAGUAAAUAAAAGAUGUUUCUCCACUCAUAAAAGUGUGUUAGAUAGCAAUAUAACGAAUCACAUCCAAAAUCUUUACUAGGCUCAAACAUAAAGAAGACUCAUUUUUAAGAAAAGAUAAAAAUGGCAUUGUCUGAUAGUAUCCAAUACACGAGAUGGCACUUAAUUUGUACAAGAUCUGUCAAUGCUGACGCACAUUUUCUGAUUAAAAAAAAACUGAUCAGUCAAAAGCAAUGAAGAGAAGUGAUGACAAUGAAUGAUGCUUCCAAUAUUUUCACCCCUUAUAGUGUUCUUCAUGAUUCAGAUAUAUAAUUGGAAAUAGAACAACCCUAUGCCAUACAUUCGUCUAAGUAUGGUGUCUAAUUUUUUGUGUCAGCGGUUGCGAAUGGAGCGUGCAAAAGUCCAAAUUGGCGUCUCUCCAUUUCCACAUAGGAAGGUGACCUUUAUUGACAAAUACCCAAUAUUUGUAGACAUUCCUUAAAUAUCAUAACUUCUUGUUGAUUUGAAAAUCAUUUUUCAACUACCAUGUUUUAAUAAAUAUUUUUUAAAAUGUAUUUUUAUCAAAGUCCACCAUGAUGGAUAAUAUUCACCAUGCAAUAAUUAAUAAAGUACAAACUAAGCGAAAUGAAAAGCAUUUUCUUUGCUUUGAGUUGAUUUUGGUUGCAUUGAGUUGAUUUUGGUUUCAUGGUUUUUUCAACUCUUAUUUUGAUUGGAAGAUGUCAAGAAAAGAAAACAUAAAGAAAAAUUAAAAGGGAAAAAAGAAGAAAAAUAAAAAAAAAUAGAUUUAAAAGUUAAUAAAUUAUUUUUUAUAUUUAUUUUAAUUCAUUUCACUUAUUUUUCUUUUACUAUAUAAAAUUUAAAUAAUUUAAAUUUUAUAAUUAAUUUAAUUACAUUUCAUUUUCUUCUAUAUUUAAAUAUUGGAAAAAUAUUUUACUUAAUAUUUUUUUCUUUAAUUUCUUUGGCAUUUUGGGAACCAAACUUAGCCUUUAAAAUAAAAAACAAAAAAAAAAUGAAAAUAAGGAGGGAAAAGUGAGAAAAGAUAAAAACAAUAUGUAAAGGAUUUGAAAAGUAUUAGUUUGUAAUUACUAUUUGGAUUUCAAUAGUAUUUUAUUUGUCUUUCUAUAUUUCAUGUAAGAGAGAAUUUAAGAUAUUCCCCAAGGCAAAGCAUUAGUUACCUGCAAUCAGUGGUGAUAAGGCUCCAAGCCAAUUUUGGGCCCCAUAUCUUAAGACAGUACAAUUUCCAUUUCAACAUUUCUGAUUUCUCAGAUGUUUCACAUACCACAGAAGAACAUUGUUUGUGAAAAUAUGCAUUUAUGUUGGAUUUUGUAUGCUGUGGGGACUGGGGCAAGGAUCAUAUGGAAGAGUGGUUGACUUUUUCUGUACUUUAACGGUUGAAAUAGGAUAAGCACGGGCAUUUGUGAGGCUUAAUUGAUUUUGAAGCCUGAAAUUGCGUUUCUGUCAUUUUGUCAAAAAAAUGGCAGAUUCCAUACUCAUAUGUUUGGCCUGUGGCCAUGUACAGAUGCCAUUUAGUGACCAGUUUGUAACUGUCAAUCGUUGCGUUUUGACUCUGCCUCAACAACAUCUGCCAUUGACGGGUUUUCAUACUUGCAAAUCAAAUAGUCUUUCGUCCCAUCAGGAAUUUCGGUUUAAAUAUUAUUAAGCAUACGUUUGGCUGACAAUCAUUAUCCAGUUCAUGAUUUGGUUUCUUACCCUUAAUCAAUGGUUUCUAAGUGAAUAUAUGUAGAAGGAAAUCCGAAGUGUAGACAGUAGUAUCGAUAACUCUCAAUAUUCUCUAUAUAAUAGAAUAAACAGCGUCAUAGUGAUCGUCGCCUACAAGCAAGGUACAAAUACCAAAACGAGUGACUCACAUAGACAUCUCCCAACAAGAUGUAGUAGUGACUGACACAUGGACACAAUUAACUCGUAGAAAAGGAUAAGACCAUUGCACAGCAGCUCUUAUUUUACAUACUACUUAUGCUAACCAAAGUCAAUUAGUUGGGAUGGGUGGGAGAUGGAGGUUUGUGCGGUGGCUUGUGGGGCGGAGUUGAUGGCUUCUUUCCAGGAGCUUCUGGCUUUUUCAUCGGAGCUGAAGGAGGCUCAAUCUUAUGAGGCGGCUUGUAUGAGUCUUCUUUACUCUCGACAGGAGGGUGGCCAGGGUUGUGAUCAUAAUGUGGUGGCUUCUCUCCCUUAGGUGGCUUGCCAACUGGGGUUGGUGGCUUGUGUUCAGGAAGUGGUUUCUCUCCCAUGGGAGGUUUAGCAAUUGGGGUUGGUGGCUUGUGUUCUGGGAGUGGCUUCUCUCCCUUGGGAGGUUUAGUAGGUGACUUGUGUUCUGGAGGUGGCUUCUCCACCGGAGGCUUGUGCUCCGGUGGUGGCUUCUUGGUUGGAGGGGGCUUGGGGUAAUCAGCAAGAGAUGGGGUGGUGAGAACCACCAGUCCAAGGAACAACACUAGCAAGUAUGUGGGAGACAUUUUUGAGUUUGGGCUGAUCAGAUGAUGCAAAACUAAAGCAUUACGUGACCUUUUAUAGCAUGUAGCUCCCAAUACCCACUAAGUAUUGUGGGGUCCAUUUGUGCCCUACGGGGUUGAAAACUUAGACAAUUGGGCAAGGACCCACCUGACUAUGGAGGACUAGUGAGGUGUGAUCAUAGCUUUAGGAUUUUUCUUCCUCUGCAGCCGUCGUGCCGUUGGCAUGAUUUUCUUAAUCUUAAAUAAAGGCAUAGUUAUAGAGUUGUUUAAUCUCUAAAUGGGAUUUUAUAUAUAUCUUCAGAUAGCCAUUAAUAUAUUUGAUGAAGAAAGAAAGACAAGUGCAUACAACAUGUAUACGACUAGCUUUCAUGGAGUUCAUUUAUGAUCAGUUUUCCUGUACAUGUAAACCAGGAUCAUAUAUAUGUUUCUGUUCCACAACUAUUUUGGAAUCUUGUUUAUCAGUUUUUAUCAUUAUAAUGUCACAUAGGCUGCCAACUUGGGCGCUAAAAGAACCAGUUGGGCUAGUUCGUUUCAGAAUUUCAAUGUGGAUUCAGGAAUUGUUUUGUAAGAUAUGCGAAAUAGUAGAGGGAUGAAUAGUGUUUCAUUAAUAAAAGUGUCCUGUAAAUUAGAAGGUGUCAUAGAAACUAUAAUCAAUAAAUAACUUUUUUUCCCCACGGGUGGUGUUUCUUGUGGGGAUCAGUGACUGGUUUAGGUUCACCCAAAAUGAGUUCAGACUAAAAUUGGUUUGAGUCAAUGCCGUGUCUCUUUUUUCCAGAAAUCAACUAUUUUAUGCAUUGAAUAAAUCAUACAAAGAAAAUAUGAACGCCCGCAAAACCUAAACCCUGGUUGCUAACUUUCUAUGUUUCAGUUCUAUUCACGCAAGAAUAUUAGUUUAAGUUUGGGAAAAAUGGCAACUUACCUAGUGAUUACUUGGUUUUGGUUUGCGACUAUUUACGCAACCAACCAUGAGUUUGACUUUAACGUCAUGGGUUGAAGCCUCCUACAGGAAGGGAGAAAGCUCCACAGCUAGCUCCAAAAGAGAAUUAUCACAUUGAUAGCUCCAGAGAUUCCCAAGGGGACUGAAUCAAAGACAAGUUCCUCACUUUUUCUUCUUUUGAGGCCAAAUAUGAACCAAGGAUCACACAACCUCAUUCAACUUCAUAAGUUUGAUUUCAUGCAGUUGAACACUGGGUGAAGGCCAUGACAAGAAUUGAUUCAAAAAUUCUAUCACUCUUUUAAGUAAUGGAAGAUUAUUAUCUCUGAUUGGCAUCACAACAGCACAUGCUCCUAGAUCUUUCUAGACACUCCAUGCAAUGAAAGCACAAUGGAUCUUGUAACGAUAGAAACUAAGCCAUGCUACAGUACUAGAUGAUGAGGUAAAACUAGUAGACACGGGUGGCAGCCUAUAUGGGAGGGACACAAGUCUAAUUGAUUUGCAUUUCAGCAUUAUAGAUAGGUAUGUUUUGGAAGAUUUGUUCUGGAAAUACCGCACCAAGUAGGAUUCUUUUUCUCUUUAGUGGGUCCACUUGCAUGCCAAUUAACGAGUUGAAAAGUAUGAGCACCUACCUCGUGCUCGUGGAACCGAAGGUCAGUGAAGUGGGGCUCCUUUUGGCCUCGUGUAAACUUGAUUCAGAAGUGAAGUUAAUAGUCUUCCAUUCAGAUGGAUACAUGGGAAUUUUUCUCUUUUAUUUAUUUAUUUAUUUUUUUUUUGUGUGUGUAUGUCAAAGGAUAAUGAAUGAAGCGCGUUAGCUUGUUUUCUGACUGGAACCGCAGAUGUCCAAAUUGGAGUUCCUUCAUUUCUUACUUAGGAUUGUUACAUGUAUAAACAAGGUAUAAGAAAUAUGCCAACGUGUCUUGAGGAGUUAUUGAUUAGAAAUAACAAGUCACCCGACUGUAGAGUUCCAAGAUUUGAAUCUUCAGACCCUAUAGCAGCCUCUGGGGUACGUGGCAUCCUAUAGCAUAUUAAUGAAGGCUUUUUCGAUUUAGACUUCACAAUACCAAUUAAUAUGUAUGCACAAAAUGGAGAUGACCCCAAAAAAAACAGAAUCGCCAUAGUUUAUGAGGUUAAGGUGAUUCUCCACUUAAUAUCUACAUUAGCUAAUUAUGUAAAUCAAAUGAACUUCUAUUUUUCCUUUUUUUUUUUGGUUUAUGUCAAAUAGUAGCCCAUAAUUAACCCAACCAUUAGCCUGUUUGAAUUGAUUUCACAUGCACAAUGUUGUAGUAGUUCAUAUUUUGAAUUUUAUUUUUACAAAGGUAGUUAAGGAAAAUGAAGUAUAAUAAUUAUAAAAGCAGACUAUAUACACUACAAUAAUUGUUAGAAUGGUAUCUCAAAUUCUAAUUUAAAAUAUUAUUUUUUGUAAAAGAAAUAUUAUAUAGAAUAUUUCCUAAUUUUAUAAAUGAUUAUAAUUAGAUCUUUAUAAAAUAAGGAAAGUUGGUAAGAAUAUCUUUAUAAAUAUUUUAGGUCAUGAGAGAAAGAAAUGGGAUAAAAAUGUGAUGAAGAGGUGAAAUAAGAGAGUUGAUUAGGAUAUAGAUGUGAAGAAGAAAGGGAUUCAAUAUAUAUAUAUCUUUCAAUUACCACAUUAAAACCCUGUGAACCUUUUAUAUGGUUUACUUUAUUUUUAUAUUCCUCCUUUAAUAUAUUUACAUUAAUGCUUCCAUUGGCACAACAAUAACGAAUUACAAAUACAAGCAACAAGUCCCAUGUUUUAUUACCAAAAGCAGGUAAAAUCCACCUAAUAUAUUACAAUAUAUUCAUCCAAUAUUUUAGACCAAUUCUUCACCAUAAAUAUCAUAAUGUGGCUUUUGUUCUUUCUUAAAUUUAAAUUGAAUUGUCUUAUAUCAAUUUGUUUGUGAUUUUUUCAUUAACUUCACUUUCAUUUGGUUAUCUUUGGUUUUUGAAAAGUAUUAAGGAAUUAAUUAACAAAAUAAUGUUAAGAAAAAUAAUUUUCUCUCUUUUGAUUUUGAUUUUGUAGUAGAAAAAUAUAAUUAAAAUUAUUUAAAAAGUAUGUAAUUUUAAAUUAUUUAAUAUUUAGAUAAAAAAAAUAAGUCUAAUGAGUUUAAAAUAACAUAUAAAAAUAAUUUAUUUAUUUUAAAUUUAUUUUUUAUUUUCCAUUAUGUUCUCUUUCUCUUUUACUUUUUCAUAUUUUUUCUUACGAAGAAUCAAACACAACCUCAUAUUAUAUGUCAAGUGUUUGUCUAUAUUUGAGCAAUGUUAGAUACGGCCAUGGAUUCAUCAAACUAAACUGAUUUUAAUAGAUACUUCACAAAUUGAUUUAUACACUAAAUCAUUGGAUAGCAAUGAUGCAUUGGAAUUAAACGUAGGAUGAAGCUCGAAGAACACUGUUUGUGUAACAACAUAUUUAUGAAAUUAUGCAAAGGAUGAGCUUCGGGGUAGUAGUACAAGGUCAUUAAUGGAGAGCCGUGUUAAACCUUGAUUGUGAUUGGAUUCCGUUAUCAGCAACAGCAACCUUGUUUGUAACCUUGAAAGUCAUUCUGUCCACAUCGAAACUCCAAUUUGACGUUUGUAAUUACCAUUCCUGGAGUGUUCCUUGAUUGAAAUUUAAAUAAUAAUUGCGGCCCACAAGGAAUAUUUUCGAUUCUGUGGGAAUUUGACAAGGUUUGUUAGAGAAGACUGGUGACAUGUUGACUUCAAUGGUUCAAAUAGGAGACGUAUGUGGAUUUGGGGGGUUUAAUUGAAACUGAGUCCCUAUGGCUUUUUAAUAUUUGCAUUGAGCAGUCUCCAUGUGACUUCCUAAUUCCCACCAACCCUCCUGUCCAUGCUGUGAAACUAAAUUGUAAUUUAUCAGCCUUUGUCAAUGGUUUCUAAAUUAAAGAUAUAGACCAUGCAUGUACUUUAAUAAAAGCAAAUCUAAAGUGUAGAUAGCAGCAAUGGUGACACCCAAUAUUCUCCAUAAAAUAGAAUUAGAAUAAGCAGUGUUACAUUGUUCAUGAUCACCUACAAGCAUACAAGAACUUCCAUGAAUAACUCAUAGCAAUUGCCAACAGGGCGUCGUAGAGACUCAUACAUAGAACACUAUCCACCCAGAGGAAAGGACAAGACCAGUGCGCUGCAGCUCUUAUUUUUCACAUGUAUACCACCACUCGUAAUAACCAAAUUCACUCAGUUGGGAUAGGUGGGAGAUGGUGGUUUGUGGGGUGGCUUGUGGGGAGGAGUUGGAGGAGGCUUUAUUUUCUGAGGCGGCUUGUAUGAGUGUGCAGGAGGAUGCCCGGGAGUGUGACCAUAAUGUGGUGGCUUCUCUCCCGUAGGUGGUUUGCCAAAUGGGCUUGGUGGCUUCUCUCCCUUAGGAGGUUUACCAAUUGGGGUUGGUGGCUUGUGUUCUGGGAGUGGUUUCUCUCCCUUGGUAGGUUUGCCAAUUGGGGUUGGCGGCUUAUGUUCUGGGAGUGGCUUCUCUCCCUUGGGAGGUUUGCUAAUUGGGGUUGGCGGCUUAUGUUCUGGGGGCGGCUUCUCUCCCUUGGGAGGUUUGCCAAUUGGAGUUGGCGGCUUAUGUUCUGGGAGUGGCUUUUCUCCCUUGGGAGGCUUGCCAAUUGGGGUUGGCGGCUUAUGUUCUGGGGGUGGCUUCUCUCCUUUAGGAGGUUUGCCAAUUGGAGUCGGCGGCUUAUGUUCUGGAAGUGGCUUUUUUCCCUUGGGAGGUUUGCCAAUUGGGGUUGGCGGCUUAUGUUCUGGGGGUGGCUUCUCUCCCUUGGGAGGUUUGCCAAUUGGAGUCGGCGGCUUAUGUUCUGGGAGUGGCUUCUCUCCCUUGGGAGGUUUUGUUGGUGGCUUGUGUUCUGGAGAUGGCUUCUCCCCUGGAGGCUUGUGCUCCGGAGGUGGCUUCUGAAAUGGCGGGGGCUUGGGGUAAUGAGCAAGAGAUGGAGUACUGGUGAGAACCACCAUUCCAAGCAACAAUACUAGCAAGCAUGUGGGAGACAUCUUUGAGUAGUUGUAGCUAAGAUGGCGCAACACUGUAGGCAUUGGGUGGCCUUUUAUAAAGGGCUGGACCCAACAGCCAUAUGACACGUGUCAUGAUGACAAAUGAAGUUGAGGGGAUCCAGAUGGGUCCUACUGAGUCGAAAACUUGCACUAAUUGAUCUGGUGAGAUGACUAUUUCUGUCCUUUUGCCCUUCUCGGCCACCCUGUGCUGUUUUCCUUUUGCACGAUUUUCGUUGCCAAACAAGCAAAUAAUAUUUCGCCAAGAAAGAGGAGAGUGAAUGUGGAAUGCAUCAAGUCCCAUCAAGGAUGGCAGAGAAGAAAUAGAAGAUUGCCCAACUGUGAUAAACAUAGCAUACACGUAGCACCAGGAACUUCAUUUACUUCCAUCUAAUGGAACAUAACAAUCUUCUAAAGUUUUUGCAUGAUUUUGUUAUAUGUCUCUUAGCCUAAAGUUGGAAAUGCGCAACAAAUUUUGUCACUUCUCUAUUUCCCACUGAUGAUGUUAAUUAGCCUUCAUAGAUAUCAUCCUUUCUACAAAGUGCUUCAUUUGUGUGUUAUUGUAAAGUGUAAGAAAAGUAAUUGAACAUGUUCUUUUUCCUUUCAUAGAUGACUUUUGAUGUGCAUUUUAAAAGCAGCGCUGUGAGUCGGUGACCUUGAUUCACACGGAAACUAAGGCUCCUAUAGGACCCACUUUUAGCUGGUUAGGGGUGAAGAAAAUAUCAACUUUUCAGAGUGAUUUAAGUCAAGGCCAAGCCUCACUGUGUCAUUACUCGUGUGAAUUUUAUAUGCACAUACAUACAUAAAUAAAGUAUGAGACCCAAAUAACACCUUCCCUUUACAAACUUAACCCCAGCCGCUCUCUUUCAAUUCUUUUCACACAAGGGUAUUGACUCUAUAAAGGUCAAGAAAAUCAUAAUUUCCUAGGGUUUACAAGGUAAUUGGCUUAAUGCUAAUGUGAAAACAUAAAAGAUAAUAGUAUAUUGUAAGCUAACGAAUAUUCUAUAGUUAUAAUUAUUUGUGAUGUGCAUAAAUAAAUCUUCAUAUAUAUAAUGGAACAAUGAAUAAAGAACCAAUGAAAAAAUACUAUAUAUCAUUGCUUGGCAUUUAAACCGUAUAUGCUGCUCUUUCUAGCUACUCCAUCCACUGAAAGACAACAAGGUAAUCCAUGUUAUAAUGAUAGAAGAUACUGUCUCUAGGCUUUUUGUGAUGAAAAAUAUAAGAUAUGGGUAGGGUUGACCCUUGUAUGUUUGUCCUAUAAACACUUCAAAGUAACAUAUUUUUCUUCUUUAGCAACUCAUAAUGAUGGGGUUCAUUUGCAUGUCACUGAGUUGAAAAGUUGGACAAUUGCCCAUGUCGCCUUCCUCCUAGAUUCCGUAGUUCACGGGAAGGUAACUCAAGUUUGACAUAUUUUGAAUUCUUUUCACUCGGACGUCUUCAUAACCUGACAAAACAAAAAUGAAAAACAGAGGAUUGGUAUAUUAUUCAUGGUAAGCCUCAAAUUAUAGUAGUAUGAGAAAGGAGAAAAAGAUUUUGGGAACUCCAAUCUGGAUAAUUCUCGUUUCUUCUCUUGAAUAAAAAUUUCACUUACCUAACUUCGUUUGGAGAAAUGGCAUAUUUUAAUUUUGUACGUCAUUGCUAAUAAAUGGAGCAAUUUAGCAUGUUUUGUGACUGAAACUGCAAAUGUCCAAUUGGCAUUUCUUCAUUUCCCACUUAGGAUCUGAUCUUGUAGACCAUAUAACGAUAUGUAUCUGUGCAAGCAUUGAAAACUAAUGUGAACUAUGAGGAGUUACAAGCCACUGGACUGUAGAGCGAGUGCCAAGAUUUAAAUCUUCAGGCUCUAUCUGGGUAAGGGGAGGAUAGCGACCUAACCUUUUACCAAAGGCUUAGAAUUUAGACUUUUGGAAAAAAAUUUCUCAUGUUUUGGCUGGAUUUCUUGUGCUUGGCGCAAAAAGGAGAUGGCCUCAAGAAAUAGCAGACUCACUUUUGUUUUCAGCCCUUAAUAAUUCUCCACUGCUUUCCAUAACUACAUGGGUUAUACAUGCAGUCUGCUGCAAUAUUCCAGUUAUAUUUAUUAUUUCAAAGAGGGUGAAUGACUUCACAUGCAAUAUGUUGCAGUAACAACCCAAAUUUUGGCACACCAUCUUAAGAAUAGAAAAGUAUAAUAAAAGAAAUCAAUCAGAGAAUCACUUUGCAUGCAGUUCAUAGAGUUCGCCCAAAAUGGAGCCACAUGUACGGACAACCCCACAAUAGACAAUCUUCUCUAUACAGUAAUAAAAUACAGAAAUGGUUAAUGAAGCUCUGUAUUUCCUUAUCAUAUAUGACCGGUUGAAAACUCAGCAAGUCUUCCUCAAUCACAGACAGUUGGAGUUGCUUCAUCAAAAUCAUGCCUUCAUUACUGGCUUCAUUUUGGUUUCAAUGUCUGUUCUACCCUUAAAUUGGGUCUCUGCUUACUACCGGGAUAUCCUUUAGCGUCCUGCAAUUCUACUAGAUUAAAGAGAAUGACUUAAUUCUGCAUUCUGCCGUCCCUAGUCCAAGUGGUACUAGAAUUGAUGUUUCCUUUAGUGUCCUUUCUUCAUACUUUCAGGUUCUUCCCUUGUUUCAAUAAUGCUGUUUUCCUUCAUGUUUAACCUCUGUUGAACCACUUAAAACAACACAAUUUGCACACCAAUGUUUCUUUACAGAAAAGACUGUUUGCAAAAAUGCACAUGUUAUAAGGUUAAUGGAAGAAUUAAUUUGGGGAUAAGGGACUAGGAUUGGGCCAAUGAAGUUUGGUGUUAAAUUUUGAUUAUGAUUGCUUUUCAUUAUCAGGUACCUUAUAUUUGCUGAUGCUAUCUGGAACUAAAUUCAAAUCAGACAUUAUCCGAUUACUAACAGGACAUAUCAUGUCCCUCUGCAGAGUUUCUAAACUAACAUGUAUCGAAAUGUGGCCCCAAAAGGAAGGCUAGGAAGAUGGAGGAUUUUGUAGGAAUCGACCAGAAUCAGAUGGAAGAGAGAUAGUCCUGUUGACUUUAAUGGUUGUGAUAGGAACAUGCAUCAUUAUAUGAGAAGUUGCAUGAAUUUAUGUAUCCUGUUAUCGUUCCUUGACGAUUUCCCAAUGCAAUUUCACUGUCCACAAGACUAACCUCUCCAUGCAGUCAAAUGAAUUGUAAUUUCUCUAUUGGUACCAGUAGUACAUUUCAUACCAAACAUAUAGUAAAUAUAAAAUAUAAAUAGAUCAAGGAAAUCUGAAUUGUAGAUAGCACUGCAAGUAACACUCAAUAUUCUCUAUAUAUAAUAAAAUAAACAGUGUCACAAUACUCAUCACCCAGUGGCAAGGGAGAAAAACCUACAAUGAGUACUCAAAUCACCAUUCUCAAACAGAAACAUAGCAGUGACUGAUACAUAGAACCUAUAUGCUCACAGGGAAAGAAUAAGAUGACCAGUGCACAGCGGGCAGCAGCUCUUAUUUUACGUACAACUCAAAUCCCAAACUAACCAAAGUCGCUCAGUUGGGAUGGGUGGGAGAUGGUGGUUUGUGGGAUGGCUUCUGGGUAGGAGCUGGUGGCUUCUGUCCCUUUGGUGGUUUGCCUAAUGAGCUUGGUGGCUUGUGCUCCGGGAGUUGUUUCUCUCCCUCGAGUAGGUUUCGAGUCUUGUCAGAUGGCUUGUGUUCUGGUGGUGGCUUCUCUCCCUGGGGUGGUUUGCCGAAUGGGCUUGGUGGCUUGUGUUCGGGGAGUGGCUUCUCUCCCUGGAGAAGGUUACGAGUUUUGUCAUAUGGCUUUUGUUCUGGUGGUGGCUUCUCUCCCUGGGGUGGUUUGCCGAAUGGGCUUGGUGGCUUGUGUUCGGGGAGUGGCUUCUCUCCCUGGAGAAGGUUACGAGUUUUGUCAGAUGGCUUGUGUUCUGGUGGUGGCUUCUCUCCCUGGGGUGGUUUGCCGAAUGGGCUUGGUGGCUUGUGUUCGGGGAGUGGCUUCUCUCCCUGGAGAAGGUUACGAGUUUUGUCAGAUGGCUUUUGUUCUGGUGGCGGCUUCUCUCCCUGGGGUGGUUUGCCAAAUGGGCUUGGUGGCUUGUGUUCGGGAACUGGCUUCUCUCCCUUGGGAGGUUCAGUUGGUGGCUGCUGUUCCGUAGGUGGUUUCUUCACCGGCGGCUUGUGCUCCGGAAGCGGCUUCUCUACCUGGAGAAGCUUACGAGUUUUGUCCGAUGGCUUGUGUUGUGGUGGUGGCUUCUCUCCCUGGGGUGGUUUGCCAAAUGGAGUUGGUGGCUUGUGUUCGGGGAGUGGCUUCUCUCCAUUGGGAGGUUUAGUUGGUGAUUGGUGUUCCGUAGGUGGUUUCUGAAGUGGGGGAUGCUUGGGGUAGUCAGCAAGAGACGAGGUAGUGAGAACCACCAGUCCCAGCAGCAACACUAGCAAGCAUGUGGAAGACAUCUUUGAGUUCAGGCUGAGAUCUGUGCAAGGAUAACAGAAUUAGGUGGCCUUUUAUAGAGGCCUGGACCCAACACCCAUAUGACACGUGUCAUGCACUCAUGGUGACACAUAAUUCUAUGGGACCAUUUGGGUCCUACAGAAGUUGCAAAGUUGGACUACUGAGGUGUGAUCACAACUUUUGUCCUUAUUGCUUUCUCUGCGGCCAUUGCACGAUUUCCUUUAGCAUCAUUUUCUUGGCUAAAUAAGCGUAUUAUAUUUGUGGCAGACCGUCCACGUGUCAUAAACAGAUAUAUUAUAAUAAUGUAGUAUGCUUUUCUCCAAUGGAACAUGACACUCUUCUAAGUCUUGUUUUAAAUAUUGUGCAGGAUUACUUUAUACGUUGCAGUUCCAAGUCAAAAUUGGUGGGCAAACGUUGGCCUUUUUUCAUUUCACCUAAGAUUAAUGCUCACCUGGGAUAGGCACUACAUGACUUAUCUGCUCUUUUACUGUAAAGUUGCUUUGUGUAUGAGAUACACCUCCCCUGCACACCCUCAACAUUCGUUGCUCUGUUUUCCUUGUGUCCAGACGAGGAUAUUAAUUGGAGGCUGACAAAACGACUGCUAGCCCAGGAUUUACAAGGUCCUGGUUUGAGGCUUCGGUGAAAGUAUUUUUGAAAAGACACACAUAGAGAUAGUGCGUUUGGUGCAAUGCAGCACUGUGAGCCAUUCUGACGCGUUCUUAAUUUCAAAACUAAUGAAUGCUUCAAAAUUUUAAGAAGUGACAUUUCCAAAUAUUUGAGUUCGUUUAAUUGAACAUUGGAUAACUAGUGAUCAUAGAUUAUUAUCUGUGCUUGGCACUAUAAGAGGGUAUAUGCUUCUUUUUCUGGCCCCUCCUUCAAGGGAGGAGGGACAAUGUGAUCUGUAACGUUAGAAGCUAUUCCAUGUCAUCUUUGGGCUCAGUUCAAAACUAAAAGAUAAUGGGGGGGGGGGGGGGGGGCAUAUCAUUUUAUAUUUCUUCUAGAAGGUUUGUUCUGGAAAUAUUUCACAGGAGCAUAUCUUUUUCUUCUAUUACGUCAUCCGCAGCCUCCAAUAGGUCGGUUAACAAGCCACCGAGUUGAAAAGUUGGAAAAAUGGGAACACAGCCCGCCUCUUGUAUUCAGUAGUUAAAUAAAAGGUCACUAGAAGUGAGAUCCCUUUUGGCGUCUUGAUUUUCAAUCCAGCACCUCUGUGACCUGACAAACCAAAAAAACUAAAAAAUAAAAAACAGUACGUGGGUUGGUGUUAAGCAUCAAGACAUGUUAAUGAAAGAAGGUAGAGAAUAGGAUAUUGAAAUCCCAAUCCUGAUAACAUGAUUUUCUUUGCUAACAACCAUAUUAUAUUUUAUCAAGAAAGAGUAAUGCAUGUGGCGUCCAUCAAGACCCAUUAGAGUUCCGCUAAAGCUAUAGUUCUGUCAACGUUAUCAUUUACGUUUCCUCUAGAUAAUGGCAUUUUCCUCUAAAGCUCUUGCACCAUUAGGCUUCAAGUCAAAAUUUCACAUGUGAACUUUGGAAAUUUUCUCCAUUUGCCCCUAAGGAUACAGUUAGAAUUGACUUAAAAUCCUGAUUGAUAUGUACUAUUAACCAAAGAAUAUUGUAUAUAAUAAUUGAAAUAUUGUUGAUUCAUCGUGGAAAUACAUUUUGUAAGGAAAGUUGUUGAGAAUUUAGUAUGCUAUAUGGAGAAAAAAGUCAUGACUUAAGGUUGUGUAUGUAUAUUCUAUAUCAAAUAUUAGGUAGGAAUGUGGGAAAGAGCAGAGUGUAAUGAUAAGAAACAAAGAAAUAUAAGAUAUUCUUGAAAGUGGAAAAUAUAAAAUGGCUAACGAGUCAAAUUUAUGAUGCGUAAGGGGGAUCAUGUCACAUAAGAAAACCAUGGCAUACUAAAGACGUACGUGUGGUAUGGAGUAAUAAUUUUGUUAAAAUAAGUUUCUUGUUGGAGUACAUUAGGUGACUAUUCAUAACGUAUCAAAUUAAAGAGUCAAGUGCAUCAAUGAAGGCAUAUGUAGAAAAUUUGUUUGUGACAUGUACCAUAAAGAUAAGAUUGACUUGAUAGAAUUUAGUCUAAGUAGGAGUUGUUAAAGGUGUCUUAAAUUUCUAAUUGAUGUAUAUUUUUUUCUAAAAAAAUAUUAUAUAGAUAUUUUAAUAAAUGAUUAAUUCUUUGUAAAAAUACUUACAUAAUAAAAAACAUCAUUAAAAAUAUCUUUAUAAAUAUUUUAAGUUACAAGAAGGAAAAAAACCACUGUGAGAUAAUGAUGAACAUGCAACACUGUACCAAGUAAAUAAAAAUGUGAUAAAAAAAAAAGAGAAACACUCGAUAAAGGAAGGCUCGUAUAUAAAGAGUAAUAUUUUUAAUCAUAUGAUAGAAUGAUUUUCUCUCAUUCAUGAAUAUAGGCAAGAUUGGGGAACCAUUAUAAAAUUUUGUACACCUCGUGUAAAUUGAUGUUUGUCUUCAUAUUUUACACCAACAAAUGACAUUGAAGUUGUCAUUGAUAAAAGGGAAAAGGCAUGCCUCCACACCAUGUGCUUGAUUCGAAUGGUUCAAGUUUGAAGAAUUUUCUCCGGAAGAUCUAAAACAUUUUCGCCUUUAAAUUUCAUUUGAUUAUUAAUAUCCGAAAAAAUAGUUAAAUACUCUUUCUAUUUUUGAGUUGUUGAAUUUUUUGAAAGUUUUUAUAUUUGUUAUCAAGAAUUUCUAUUUUAUUAAGGGUGAAUAUUUAUAAAUAAGAUAUUAUAUAAUAUUUGGAUAAGAGAGAAUGGUGGAAUAUAAUAAAGUUUUAAUCCUUCCCAAUUUUGAACCUUUUUUUUUUUUUUUGAUAUAAUCGCCUUUCUCUUGCAAUCCUAUUAUCAGGUACCUUAUAUUUGCUGAUGCUAUCUGGAACUAAAUUCCAAUCAGGCAUUGUCCAAUUACUAAUAGGACAGAUCAUAUCUCUCUGUUUCUAAACUAACAUGUAUCGUAAUGUGACCUCAUAAGGAAGGCUAGGAAGAUGGAGGAUUUUGUGGGAAGCGACCAGAAUCAGAUGGAAGAGAGAUAGCCCUGUUGACCUAAUGGCUGUAAUAGGAGAAGCGUGUGGUUUUAUGGGACUUAACUGAUACUAAACCUGUAUGAUGCUUGGAGUGGUGUUUCUUUCAUUUUGUUAAGAAAAUAUGGCAGCAUACAUGCUUUCAACUGAGUGCAUCAGAGCAUCCAUAACAGAUGGUCUGCAACCCUAGGUGCAUGCCACUUUCUGACUGAUAAUGAAAUUGUCAGGUACCUGGCCUUGACUAAGCUCAACAGCAUCACAUAAAGAGAAGCUUUCAUACUUAGAUUACUGUUUAAAGUUUUUGCUUAUUUGAUUUCUUAAUGCCAUUAUGACAUUAUUGAUUCAAUUCUGCUUCCGAUUUUCGAAGUUCUGGGCAUCUACUGAUUGCAUCAUUAUAUGAGAAGUUGCAUGAGUUUAUGUAUCCUGUUAUUGUUCCUUUGCGAUUUCACUGCUCACGGGACUAACCUCUCCAUUCAGUCGAAAUGAAUUGUAAUUUCUUUACUGGUAGCAGUAGUACUUUUCAUAGCAAAGAUAAUAGAAAAUAUGAAAUAUAAAUAGAAGGAAAUCUGGAUUGUAGAUAGCACCAUAAGUAACACUCAAUAUUCACUACAUAAUAAAUAGACAGUGUUACAUAGGUAGAGAAACCUACAAUGAGUACUCAUCACCAUUCUCAAACAGAAACAUAGCAGCGACUUAUACAUAGAACCUAUAGGCUCGCAGGGAAAGAGUAACAUGAUAAGUUCACAGCGGGUAGCAGCUCUUAUUUUACGUAUUACUCAAAAUCUCAAACUAACCAAAGUCACUCAGUUGGGAUGGGUAGGAGAUGGUGGUUUGUGGGGUGGCUUCUGGGUAGGAGCUGGUGGCUUCUUUGUUGGAGUUGAAGGAGGCAUAUUCUUCUGAGGUGGCUUGUAUGACUCUUCGGCACUCUCUGCAGGAGGGUGCCCAGGGUUGUGACCAGAAGGAGGUGGCUUCUGUCCCUUUGGUGGUUUGCCUAAUGGGCUUGGUGGCUUGUGCUCCGGGAGUUGUUUCUCUCCCUCGAGUAGGUUUCGAGUUUUGUCAGAUGGCUUGUGUUCUGGUGGUGGCUUCUCUCCCUGGGGUGGUUUGCCGAAUGGGCUUGGUGGCUUGUGUUCGGGGAGUGGCUUCUCUCCCUGGAGAAGGUUACGAGUUUUGUCAGAUGGCUUUUGUUCUGGUGGCGGCUUCUCUCCCUGGGGUGGUUUGCCAAAUGGGCUUGGUGGCUUGUGUUCGGGAACUGGCUUCUCUCCCUUGGGAGGUUCAUUUGGUGGCUGGUGUUCCGUAGGUGGUUCCUUCACCGGCGGCUUGUGCUCCGGAAGCGGCUUCUCUACCUGGAGAAGCUUACGAGUUUUGUCAGAUGGCUUGUGUUGUGGUGGUGGCUUCUCUCCCGGGGGUGGUUUGCCAAAUGGACUUGGUGGCUUGUGUUCGGGGAGUGGCUUCUCUCCAUGGGGAGGUUUAGUUGGUGGUUGGUGUUGCGUAGGUGGUUUCUGAAGUGGGGGAUGCUUGGGGUAGUCAGCAAUAGACGAGGUAGUGAGAACCACCAGUCCCAACAGCAACACUAGCAAGGAUGUUGAAGACAUCUUUGAGUUCAGGCUGAGAUCUGUGCAAGGAUAAAAGAUUUAGGUGGCCUUUUAUAGAGGGCUGGACCCAACACCCAUAUGACACGUGUCAUGCACUCAUGGUGACACAUAAUUCUAUGGGACCAUUUGGGUCCUACAGAAGUUGCAAAGUUGGACUAUUGAGGUGUGAUCACAACUUUUGUCCUACUUGCUUUCUCUGCGGCCAUUGCACGAUUUCCUUUAGCAUCAUUUUCUUGUCUAAAUAAGCGUAUUAUAUUUGUGGCAGACCGUCCACGUGUCAUAAACAGAUAUAUUAUAAUAAUGUAGUAUGCUUUUCUUCAACGGAACUUGACACUCUUCUAAGUCUUGUUUUAAAUACUGUGCAGGAUUACGUCAUAAGUUGCUUGUUCCAAGUCAAAAUUGGUGGGCAAACGUUGGCCUUUUUUCAUUUUCCCUAAUAUUAAUGCUCACCUGGGAUAGGCACUACAUGAUUUAUCUGCUCUUUUACUGUGAAGUUGCUUUGUGCAUGAGUUACACCUCCCCUGCACACCCUCAACAUUUGUUGCUCUGUUUUUCUUGUGUCCAGACGAGGAUAUUAAUUGGAGGCUGACAAAACGACUGCUAGCCAAGGAUUUACAAGGUCCUGGUUUGAGGCUUUCACGAAAGUAUUUUUGAAAAGAUACACAUAGAGAUUGCGCGUUCGGUGCAAUGCAACAAUGUGAGCCAUUCUGAAGUCUUAAAUUUCAGAUUAAUGAAUGCUACAAAAUUCUAAGAAGGGCCGUUUCCAAAUAUUUGAGUUCAUUCAUCCGAACAUCGGGUAUAUGCUUCUUUCUCUAGCCCCUCCUUGAAGGGAGGAGGGACAAUGUGAUCUGUAUCGUUAGAAGCUAUUCCAUGUCGUCAUCUUUGGGCUCAGUUCAAUACUAAAAGAUAUGGGCGGGGCCCUUAUCAUUUUAUAUUUCUUCUAGAAGGUUUAUUCUGGAAAUCUUUCACAGAAACAUAUCUUUUUCUUCUCUACGUGAUCCGUGGUUUGAAAGUUGGAAAAAUGGGUCCGUUAACAAGCCACCGAGUUGAAAAGUUGGAAAAAUGGCAACACCGCCAACCUCUUGUAUUCGAUAGUUAAAUAAAAGGUCACUGGAAGUGAGAUCCCUUUUGGCCUCUUGAUUUUCAUUCCAGCAUCUCUAUGGCCUGAUAAAUUAAAAAACUAAAAAAAAAGACAGUACGUGGGUUGGUGUUAAGCAUCAAGAGUCAAGACAUGAUAAUGGAGAGAAAGGAUAUUCAAAUUCCAGUUCUGACAACAUGAUUUUCUUUGCUGAACUACCAUAUUAUAUUUGAUCAAGAAAGAGUAGUGCAUGUGGCCAGGAUCAAGACAUACAUUAAUUUCCACAUGAUGAAGACAGUUUCUGAGAGUUUCUUCUAAAGCUCUUGCGCGAGUAGGCUUCAAGUCAAAAUCUCCCAUGUAAACACUGGUUUUUCUUUCAUUGCCACUAAGGAUGCAGUUAAUAUUGACUUAAGAUCCUACGUGAUAUAUUUUUUUAAAAGAGCUAUAUUGUAGAUAAUAUUUGAAAUAAUGUUGAUUCGUUGUGGAAAUAUAUUUGUAAGGAAAGUUGUUGACAAUUUAAUAUAGUAUAAGAAGAAAAAAGUUAUCAACUAGCUAGAGAUGAGUAUGUAAAGUGAGGCUCACGAUUCAACGCGUAAAUAUAAGAUAUUUUAAGGCUCAAUAGUUAUGAUAUCUAUUUUAUUUUUUGUAUCUCAUAUAUUCAAAGAUAUAGUAAAAUGAUUUUACAUAUAUAUAUAUAUAUAUAUAUGAACAUAACUAUUUGUGCCAAUUGAUUUUUAUCUUUAUUUUGUAUAUUAGUAAUUAUAUUAAAGUUUUUACUAAUAUAAUAACUAAUAUAAAAGCUUUUUCUAAAAGAGUCAACAGAGCAAAACACUUAUUAUAAAAAAUAAUUUUGAUUGAAGGUGGAGUCAAUUAUUCUUUAUUUAACAUGUAAUGCAUACGGCGUGUACUUCAUAACUAAAGUAUAUAAGUGUAACAUCUCUUAUAUAUUCUCAUUCAAUCUCGAAAGUGGAAAUUUUAAAAAGAUUAAACGGUUCAAAUUUGUCGUGCAUAAAGGGGAUCAUGUCACAUAAGCAAACCAUGGCAUACCAAAGACAUAGGUAUGGACUAAGAAUUUUUUUCAAAUAAGUUUCUUAUUAGGGUACAUUAAUAGGUGACUUUUUAUGACAUAUCAAAGGAGUCAAGUGCACCAAUAAAAACAUAUAUAGAAAAUUCAUGCAUGACAUGUAUCACUAAGAGAAGAUUGACUUGAUAGAGUUUAAUCCAAAUAGGAGAUUGUUAAAAGGUGUCUCAAAUUCUUGAUUGAUAUAUAUUUUUUUUAUUAAAAAGGUUAUUAUAUAGAUAUUUCAAUAGACUAUUAAUUCUUUGUAAAAAUAGUUAUAUAAUGAGGAUGGUGAUUAAAAAUAUCUCUAUCAAUAUUUUGGAUUAUAAAAAGAAAAAAAAUGAGAUAAUGAUAAACAUAUAAAACUUGUACAAGUAGAUAAAGAUGUGAUGAAAGACACUUGAUGAAUGAAGGCUUUGUAUUUCAAGAUAUAAAUAUAUGGAGCAAAACUCUUAAUUAUAUGAUCAAAUGAUUCUCUCAUAUUCAUGAAUAUAAGCAGGAUUGGGGAACCAUGAUAGAAUCUUAUAUGCCUCUCCAUGUAGAGUGAUCGAUGUUUAUCUUCAUAUUUUACACCAGUGAAUGACAUUGAAACUCUUAUUGAUAAAAGGGAAAAGGCAUGGCCUCCACCCCAAGAAAAACAAGUAACCUCGGUUUAAAUCACUAGUCUACACCCCGAAGAGAGAACUAGCCAAACCUACUAAAAGAGAAACUUAACAAUUUAGAAAGAAACCGUCCAUGAUAAAGGGCCCCUAAAGGUCCAAUUCAGUGAGGUCGUGAACAAAAACACUUUCAUGUCAAAACAGAGAUAGGUACCACCAAAAUGUAAAGGGAAAGAUGUAAACCACGUCGAACUUUGGUAAUCAAUGGUAAAGAUAGCAUGAUAGCUAAAAGCACUAAAGCUGUGCUUGGUAUGCAAAAAUGAAAAGUGGAAAUCAGCGUCUUAUUCUUUUUCACCUUUAUUCACAUAUUAGGAUAACUAAUAUCUAAUGUUUUUUAUGUCUCAAAUUCUAUUCCAUGUUAUGGUAAACUUUCAUCUUGUUUAGAUCACUUUUGUCUGGUUUGGGCUCAAGACGAUAAGCCUAUAGAGACUUCAUAUUGGGUUGAAUCGAUGCCCUUGAUCUGAUCUGUUCGUUAGAAAAAUCUGAAUUAUUAUAAGCAUUUAGAUAAAAAAUAAAUAAAUGUGAAACACAAACUACUCCCUGCACAACCUUGACCCUAGUUACUCAGUUUCACUGCUCACAGGACUAACCUCUCCAUUCAGUCGAAAUGAAUUGUAACAAGAAGAUUUUUGACAGGAGGACGGUAGUUUAAAAUAAUAAUUUCUAAAGUACUUUUGUGAAAAAAAAUAAUUCCAAACGUGGAUUUUAUCAAGUAAAAAGAAAAAAAAAAGUUAUUUUCUUUUAAAAUCUGUUCUUCUAAAGAUGAUAUAUAUACCAAAAAAAAAAAUUGUUUUCUGAAGGUAAAAUUUUUAAAAUUCAUUUUUAAAAAAAUUUACACACUAAAAUUAUCUUUUCAAGAGAAGAUUUUUUUAAUUUUAAAUAAUUAUUAAUUUAUAAUUAAUUUGUUAUUAAUUAUUUAUUAAUUUUUUUAUUUGAAAAAUGCAUUUAUAAAAAACAAAUUUGUUAUUAAUUUAUUAAAUAAUUUUUACAAAAUAAAUAAUUUUUUUUUAUUUUAAUUUUAAAAUUAAUUUUAUUAUAUAAAUUUUAAAAUUAAAAAUAUUAAUAUUUAAUUUAAAAUUUAACUAUAAAAGGAAUAAAAUAUAGAAAAAUAAAUUAAUUUAUUAUUCAAUAAAUUAAUUUUCAAUAAAAUUUUCAGCAUUAAGAGAUAAAUUUUUAAGUAUUAAUCAAUUUAAAAAGAAAUAAUGAUCAUUUGUAUAUUAAGAUAUUUUAUUUAGUAAUUAUGAAUGAUAAACAACUAAAGUAAUUUGAAAAAAUAAUAAAAUAUUUAAAAAAUAAUAAUUUAAUACACGUAAAAUUAGAAAUGAUUAACUAUUUUUUAUUAAGAAAAAAUUGAGGAAAUAUUUUGUUAUUUAAAAUUUUUUAUUUGUUUUCAAUUUUUAAUGUUAUAGGUUUCAAGAAAAUUGAUCAAAUAAAAAUUAAGAAGUCAUUUUUUCAAAAACUAUAUAUCUAAAUAAAAGCCUUGAAAUUCAAAUACACAAUAUCAUAAAUAUAAACACCAAGUCAAUCCUUAAUUAUCAAAUGUUUUUAAUAUUAAAGAAUCAAAAUCACCUACUAUCAUGAUAAUAAGAAAACCAAUAAUAUUGUUCAUAUAAAUACUAAAAAGCUAACAAAUAUCCCAAACAAUUAAUAAAGUAUCAAACAUGAUAAAAAGUCAAUUAUUAUCAUGAAUGCAAAAAAUCAAUAAUUUUGUUUAUAUGAACCAUCAACAAAGAAAAAAAAAAUCAAUAUCUAAAUAUUAAACAUAAUUUAUAUUUUUAUAAAUAUUAUUGUUGAUAAAUAUCUUAACAAUUAUAAUUUUAGUAAAUAAAAUUAAUUAAUUUUAGUUUAAGAAUUAUUUUUUUAUACUUUCGUAUUCUUAUCAAAAAUCCCCAUUUUGCAUGUCUCCUUUGGCAUGACUUUCUUACCUAAACAAGCAUAUAUAUAUAUAUAUAUAUAUAAAAUAUUUGGUUAAGAAAGAGUACUAAAGUUUAUAUGGCACACAUCAAGAUAGAAACAGAAGUGGAAGAUAAUCCAAAUGUAUGAACAGAUAUAUUAUAUCCAUGUAGUGGUAGUGACUUCAUUAUUUACUUUUAUCUAAUGGAGCAUGACACACUUCUUCUGAAUAUUUUGCACGAUUAUGUUAUGUGUCAGCUUGUUCUAAGUCAAAACUAGUGAUAAAAAUCGGUUUUUUUUGCAUUUCCUUCAUGAAGAUGGCACCUGGAUGGGGCACUACAUGAGUGGCAUAGCACGAAGUGAUUUAUCUGCUCCCUUUACUAUAAAGUGCUUUGUGUAUAAGUUACACCUCCCCUGCACUGCCUCAACAUUUGUUGUUCUGUCUUCCGUCUGUCCAAACGAGGACAAACGUAUGUUGUAGGUUGACAAAACCACAGCUAGCCUAGGAUUUGCAAGGAUCUAGUUUGAUUCGUAUGCAAAAGGAUUGGUGAAAAGAUUCACAAAGAUAAUGCUUUUUGCAAUGCAAUCUUGUUCUAAUUCAACAGUGUGGACCAUUUUCAUGUAAUGCUUCAACUAGAUGUCAGUUUCAUGAAUUUUUGUUCAUCUAAUUGAUCACUGGAUAGGCCAUAACCCGAAGAAAUUCAAAAUUCCCUUCAGUACUGUAGCUAAGGAAAGAUCCCUAUCUACCACUGGGAUUUUAAGAGGGUAAAAAUGUAGGUGGGUGCCUAUAUCAUUUGCACUUCACUAUAGGCCUCUUUGGGAAGAUUUCUUCUGAAGACAUUUCAAAGAAACAUAUUUUUCUCUUCUCUCCGUAAACGGCAGCUGCAAGUCAGUCCAUUCACAGGCCACCGAGUUGAAAAGGCUGGAAAAUUGGCCAAAGCACCCGCCUCCUGGAUUCCAUGGGUAAGGAAAAGGUCACUGGAGGUGUGAUCCCUGUUGGCCUCUUGAUUUCCAUUCCGCCAUCUAUAUGACCUGAUAACCCAAAAACACAGAAGGAAAACGUCACCUGGGUUCAUAGUAAGCAUCAAGUCAUGAUAGAGACCAGACAACAUGACCAACAAAGAGUAGCGAAUGGGGCCAACAUCAAGCCCCAUUACGGUUAGAAGAUGGAAGAAGUAGAAGACAAUCCAAUUCUGAUAGAUUCGGGCAAAUGUAGUGCUGUUCAAACUUAAUCAUUUACUAUUUCUUCAUGAAUCACGGCAUUUUUCUUCUGAAAAUUUUCCAAGAUUAGGCCUCUGAAGAAAAAUUUCAUAUGUAAAUUGGUAUAUUAAGGAAAAGGCGUUACAAAGGUGAAAAAAAACCAAUCAAAUCUUAUAUAUGACAUCUCAAAAAUAUGAACUUGCUAUAAAUAUUUAAAAUCAAAAUCUUGCACAUCACCUCGUAGUACGAACUUGCUAUAAAACUUGAAAAUCAAGAAGAAAGGGGCAGUAUUGGACGAGACUACUUAGCACAUAUUAUUAUGAUGUUUUUUCAUUUUCUUAAUGUUGUUUUUAUGUCUUAAAUUCUAUUAUUCUAUGUUACGGUAAACAUUCAUCUUGUUUGUGUGGAAUAGGAUCACUUUUCUCUGGGUUGAGUCGAUGCCCUUAGUUAAUUUGUUCAUUUGAAUAAACUAAAUUAUUAUAAGUAUUUAGAUAAGAAAAACGUGAUACAUAAAUUACGCCUCUCGGCACAACUUCAACACUGGUUACUCUGUUUCAGUUUCCUCACACAAGAUUAUUGGUUCUAGGGUUUAUUUGGUUUUGGUUUGAUUCUAAUUGCUAAACUUUCUCAAGGAAGAUGUUAUAUAGGGAGUGAGAAACCUUCACUCUUGGCUACCUCCAAGAGAAGAGCAAGUGGUCUGAAUCAAAGAUAUACUGCUCACUUUUUCUUCUUCUAAGGACAGCUAUGACCUUGCUUUAAGGUUCGAAUAGCCUAAUGCAACCUCCCAUUUCUCAAGUCAGCUGAUGAUGUAAGUCACCUUGGCUUUCCACAUUCAUACGGUGAGGACGUUUGUGGGUGUAAUUCUCUUAACAGUUUUCAUUUUAUAUGGAAAAAUUCAUAAUUAAGGGUAAUUACUGAUUCCAUUUGACAGUGACCAAGUUUAAAAUAUUAAUUCAUAUAUUAAAUGCACAUUAAAAAAUCAUGGAAUAAAUAUAUUUACUAAUAUAUAGUUCUUUUGCCAUGUUCUGUCACAGAAGCAUCGAACUUUCCCUAGAAAUUUUUGCAUGGUAUUCUACUUAUGAUUUUGAAAACUCUAGGCACCUGAGGCCACUAAUUGCAUGGUUGGAUGAGGAGCUGCAUGAGAUUAUGUAUCGUGUUGUUCCUUAACUACAAAUAUCAGUUUUAAGUAGCAUCUCCAUGUGACAUUUUCCUGAUGCAAUUUCGCUGUCCACCAACAAAUUUCACCAUGCAGCAAGAUGAAUUGUAAUUUCUUUAUUGUUAUCAACAGCUUUAAUUAAUCUUGAUAUAUAUAUAUAACUUAGUAGAAGUAUAUUAAUCUAGAUUGUAGUUGCACUAAGAUAAUAGGCAAUAUUAUAACAGUGCCACAAUGCUCAUCGCCAAAUAGAAAGGUAGAAAAACUACAAUGAGUAACUCACAACAUUCUCAAACAGGACAUAGCGGCGACUGAUACAUAGAACACUAUUGGCACUCAGGAAAUGAUAAGAUCAGUGCCCAGCAGGCAGCACGUCUUAUUUUACAUACUACUUAAAACUAACCAAAGUCAUUCAGUUGGGAUGGGUGGGAGAUGGUGGUUUGUGCGGUGGCUUUUGGGUAGUUGGUGGCUUCUUUCCUGGAACUGAUGGUUUUUUUGUUGGAGUUGAAGGAGGCUUAAUCGUCUGAGGUGGCUUGUAUGAGUCUUCAGCACUCUCUGCGGGAGGGUGCCCAGGGUUGUGACCAUAAUGGGGUGGCUUCUCUCCCUUAGUUGGUUUGCCAAGUGGGCUGGCUGGCUUGUGCUCCGGGAGCGGCUUCUCUCCCUUAGGUGGUUUGCCAAAUGGGCUUGCUGGCUUGUGCUCUGGGAGCGGCUUCUCUCCCUCAAGAAGUUUACGGGUUUUGUCAGAUGGCUUGUGUUCUGGUGGUGGCUUCUCUCCUUGGGGUGGUUUGCCAAAUGGACUUGGUGGCUUGUGUUCGGGGAGUGGCUCCUCUCCCUUGGGAGGUUUAGUUGGUGGCUGGUGUUCCAUAGGUGGUUUCUCAACCGGGGGCUUGUUCUCCGUUGGUGGUUUAUGAACUGGGGGAUGCUUGGGGUAGUCAGCAAGAGACGGGGUGGUGAGAACCACCAGUCCCAGCAGCAACACUAGCAAGUAUGUGGAAGAGUACAUCUUUGAGUUCAGGCUGAGAUUUGUGCGAGACUUGAAGAAUUAGGUGGCCUUUUAUAGCUGGCUGCACCCAACACUCACAUGACACGUAUCAUGGUGACACAUGUGCUAUGGGUCCAUUUGGGUCCUACAGAAGCUGAAAACUUUUGACUAUUGAGGUGUGGUCACAACUUUUGUCCCUAUUGCUUUCUCCGCAACCGUUUUACAUGUUUCCUUUGGCAUAAUUUUCUAAGCUAAACAAGCAUAUAUCAUAUUUGGUUAAGAAAGAGUAAAGUGUAUAUGGCACACAUCAAGGAAGAGAAACAGAAAAAGUGGGAGACAAUCAAUUGUGAUAAACAGAUAUAUUAUAUUCAUGUAGUACUAGUGACUUUAUCAUUUACUUUUAUCCAAUAGAUCAUCACUCUUUCUUCUAAAUAUUUUGGAGGAUAAUGGUACAUGUUGCUUGUUUCCAAGUCAAAAUUGGUGGCAAAAAUCGGCAUGAUACGAAAGGAUUGGUGAAAAGAUUCACAUAGAUGGUGCUUUGUGCAAUGCAGUCUUGCUCUAAUUCAACAGAGUGGACCAUGGUGAUGUAUUUUAAAUUUUAAAUUUUAAAUUAAUGCAUGCUUCAAAGUUUUAACUAGAUGUCACUUCCAUGGAUUUUUGUUCAUUUAAUUGAGCACAGGAUAGGCUAUCAAACUUGAAGUAAUAUAAAAAUCCCUUCAUUACUGUAACUAAUGAAAGAUCAUUAUCUGCGCUUGGUAUUUUGCCAAGGUAUUUGCUGCUCUUUCUAGCCCUGUCUUACAGUUAAGGACAAUGUGAUCUAGUUAACCUUAGAAGCUAUUCCAUGUCAGAUACAAGAGAUCAAGCACAUUAUCUUUGGGCUCAGUUCAAAACUAUAAUAUAUGGGUGGGGUGGAGGCCCAUAUCAUUUGCAUAUCACCACUAUUGGUUUAGUUUGGAAGGUUUCUUCUGGAAGAUUGCUGCUUUCUGGAAUCAUUUCAAAGAAAUAUAUCUUUUUGUUCUCUUGGUGACGAGCAGCGGCAAUCAAGUCUGUUGACAAACAACCGAGUUGAAAAGUUUGAAAAUUGGUCACAGCCCACGUCCAUGGUUAAGGAAAAGGUCACUGGAAGUGAUCCCUUCUGGGCCUCUUGAUUUCCAUUCUGACAUCUAUAUGACCUGAUAAAUAGAAAGAAAAAAAAACAGAAGAAAAGCGGCACCCGGGUUCAUAGUAAGCAUCAAGACAGGAUACUGAAAGAAGGGAGAAAGGAGAUUGCAAGUCCAAUCCUGAUAAAAUGAUCAACAAAGAGUAUCAAAAUGGGGCCAACAUAAAGACCCAUUGAGGUUAGCAGAUGGCAUGGCAUUUUUCUCCUUAAGUUUUCCAUGAUUAGACUUGAAGUCAAAAUUUCACAUGUAAAUUUGUAUUUCUACAUUUCCCACUGACGACACCCAACUUCAACUUGAGUUAGAAUAACAUUGUGUGAACUUAUCUGGCCCUCAAAAUUUACUGUGAAGUGCUUUCUGCGUGUGAAGAUUCAGAAAAGCACCAAGGGAACAUGUAUGGUCUGCCUUUUUCUGAUGUUAUGUUUGUCUCUAAUUCUGUUCCAUGUCAUGGUAAAUGUUCACAUUGCUUGUAUGGAACACACCAGGAUCACUUUUUCGGGUUUAUUUUGAGGCUUCAUAUUGGGUUCAUAUUGGGUUCAAUGCUUUUAAUGUGUUCAUUAGACAAAUCUGAAUUAUCAUAUGCAUUUAGAUAAGAACAAUAAUGUGAAACCCUAGUUACACCUCCCCUGCAUAACCCCAACCCUGCUUACUCUAUUUCAGUUUACUCACACAAGUUUUACCGGUUCUUAUAAGUCAAGAAAAGGCAACUGAUGUUGGAUUGACUCUCUUCCAUGUAUAAAAAGCAACUUUUAUAUAUACAUAAAAUAACUUCUUCCCCUCACCAAUGUGGGAUAUCAUGGAUUUAUUCUGGAAACACAUCAAAGGAACAUCUUUUCUCUUGGGUGACCCUAAGUGGUGAGUCAGACCAUUUGCAUGCCAUUGAGUUGCACAGUUGGAUAAAUGCACCUACCUCCUGGGCUCCAGAGUUAAAAGGGUGGAUCCCUGGAUCGCAACCCUCUUGGCAUCUUGGUUUCCAUUCCAACAUCCACAUGACUUGACAAAACAAAAAACAGAAUAAAAUCAUCACUAUUUUCAUGCUAAGCACCAAUACAUGAUGGAAAUCAUUGCUUAAAGAUUUGGGGUCAUUUAGGUUUUGACUGCCUCCUAACACCUCACCUAAUCACAAGUUUUUAUGCUUACAAAUCAAAUAUCGUUCUUCAUUAUAUUAAAAUCAUUUUAAGAUUUCAGAUCCAUCUGCUAAUUAUGAUUAUGAUAACAUUAAUUCACCUGUGCUUCUCAUUUUCGACACACAAGGCAUCUAGGUUUGCAGGAUUUCCUUAUUAGAUGAGAUAAAUGAGUACGCAUGGUUAUGUAUGCAGCAUUCAUUAACCAUGGUAUGUGACAUUUAGAAUUAAGAUAGCAAGCAAACUUUCCCUGCAGCUUGAGUAAAUUGUGAUUUCUUAGCCUCUAUGAGUGGUUCCCAAAUCAAAUUAACAUAGUGAAAUAUACGUAGUCCAGUGAAAGGAAAUGUAAAUUAUAAACUAACAGCACUACACUACUGGUAACACUCGAUACUCUCUAUAUAAUGCAAUGAAAUAUACGUUAUACGUUGCUUGUUCCAAGUCAAAAUUUGUGGCCAAACGUUGGCCUUUUUUCAUUUUCCCUAAGAUUAAUGCUCACCUGGGAUAGGCACUACAUGAUUUAUCUGCUCUUUUACUGUAAAGUUGCUUUGUGUAUGAGUUACACCUCCCCUGCACACCCUCAACAUUUGUUGCUCUGUUUUCCUUGUGUCCAGACGAGGAUAUUAAGUGGGGGCUGACAAAACGACUGCUAGCCAAGGAUUUACAAGGUCCUGGUUUGACGCUUCCGCGAAAGUAUUUUUGAAAAUAUACACAUAGAGAUUGCGCGUUCGGUGCAAUGCAACAAUGUGAGCCAUUCUGAAGUUUUUAAUUUCAGAUUAAUGAAUGCUACAAAAUUCUAAGAAGGGCCGUUUCCAAAUAUUUGAGUUCAUUUAUCCGAACAUCGGAUAAGUAAUGAUCAUAGAUUAUUAUUAUUAUCUGACGUUCUUAUAAUGGUUGGCAUUAUAAGAGGGUAUAUGCUUCUUUCUCUAGCCCCUCCUUCAAGGGAGGGACAAUGUGAUCUGUAUCGUUAGAAGCUAUUCCAUGUCGUCAUCUUUUGGCUUAAGUCAAUACUAAAAUAUAUGGGCGGGGCCCCUGUCAUUUUAUAUUUCUUCUAGAAGGUUUGUUCUGGAAAUCUUUCACCGAAACAUAUCUUUUUCUUCUCUACGUGAUCCGUGGUUGGAAAGUUAGAAAAAUGGGUCCGUUCACAAGCCACCGAGUUGAAAAGUUGGAAAAAUGGCAACACCGCCAACCUCUUGUAUUCGAUAGUUAAAUAAAAGGUCACUGGAAGUGAGAUCCCUUUUGGCCUCUUGAUUUUCAUCCCAGCAUCUCUAUGUCCUGAUAAACUAAAAAACUAAAAAAAAAACAGUACGUGGGUUGGUGUUAAGCAUCAAGAGUCAAGACAUGAUAAUGGAGAGAAAGGAUAUUCAAAUUCCAGUUCUGACAACAUGAUUUUCUUUCCUGAACAACCAUGUUAUAUUUGAUCAAGAAAGAGUAGUGCAUGUGGCCAGGAUCAAGACAUACAUUAAUUUCCACAUGAUGAAGACAGUUUCUGAGAGUUUCUUCUAAAGCUCUUGCGCUAGUAGGCUUCAAGUCAAAAUUUCCCAUGUAAACACUGGAUUUUCUUUAAUUGCCACUAAGGAUACAGUUAAAAUUGACUUAAAAUCCUACGUGAUAUAUAUCUUUAACAAAAGUAUAUUGUAUAUAAUAUUUGAAAUAAUGUUGAUUCGUUGUGGAAAUAUGUUUGUAAGGAAAGUUGUUGACAAUUUAAUAUAGUAUAAGAAGAAAAAAGUUAUCAACUAGAGAUGAGUAUGUAAAGUGAGGCUCACGAUUCAACGCGUAAAUAUAAGAUAUUUUAAGGCUCAAUAGUUAUGAUAUCUAUUUUAUUUUUUGUAUCCCAUAUAUUCAAAGAUACAGUAAAAUGAUUUUAUAUAUAUGAACAUAGCCGAUAGUAUCAUGUUAAAACCUUAUAUGACUCUUUGUGCCAAUUGAUUUUUAUCUUUAUUUUGUGUAUUAGUAAUUAGUAUUAAAGUUUUUACUAACAUAAUAAUUGAUAUAAAAGCUUUUUCCAAAAGAGUCAAACAGAGCAAAACACUUAUUAUAAAAAGAAUUUUGAUUGAAGGUGGAGUCAAUUAUUCUUUAUUCAACAUGUGAUGCAUACAGCGGGUACUUCAUAACUAAAGUAUAUAAGUGCAACAUCUCUUAUACAUUCUCAUUCAAUCUCGAAAGUGGAAAAUUUUAAAAGAUUAAAUGGUUCAAAUUUUCCGUGCAUAAAGGGGAUCAUGUCACAUAACCAAACCAUGGCAUACCAAAGCCAUGAUAUGGACUAAGAAUUUUGUUAAAAUAAGUUUCUUAUUAGGGCACAUUAUGUGACUAUUUAUGACAUAUCAAAGGAGUCAAGUGCAUCAAUAAAGACAUAGAAAAUUCAUGCAUCACAUGUACCACUAAGAGAAAAUUGACUUGAUAGAGUUUAGUCCAAAUAGGAGAUUGUUAAAAGGUGCAUCAAAUUCUUGAUUGAUAUAUAUUUUUUUUAUUAGAAAGGUUAUUAUAUAGAUAUUUCAAUAGACUAUUAAUCCUUUGUAAAAAUAGUUAUAUAAUGAGGAUGGUGAUUAAAAAUAUCUCUAUCAAUAUUUUGGAUUAUAAAAAGAAAAAAAAUAUGAGAAAAUGAUAAACAUAUAAAACUUGUACAAGUAGAUAGAGAUGUGAUGAAAGACACUUGAUGAAUGGAGGCCUUGUAUUUCAAGAUGUAAAUAUAUGGAGCAAAACUCUUAAUUAUAUGAUCAAAUGAUUCUCUCAUAUUCAUGAACAUAAGCAGGAUUGGGGAACCAUGAUAGAAUCUUAUAUGCCUCUCCAUGUAGAUUGAUCGAUGUUUAUCUUCAUAUUUUACACCAAUGAAUGACAUUGAAACUCUGAUUGAUAAAAGGGAAAAAGCAUGGCCUCCACCACAAGAAAAACAAGUAACCUCGGUCUAAAUCACUAGUCUACACCCCGAAGAGAGAACUAGCCAAACCUACUAAAAGAGAAACUUACCAAUUUAGAAAGAAAUCUUCCAUGAUAAAGGGCCCCUAAAAGUCCAAUUCAGUCAGGUUGUGAACAAAAACACCUUCAUGUCAAAACAGGAAUAGGUACCACCAAAAUGUAAAGGGAAAGAUGUAAACCAAGUCGAACUUUGGUAAACAAUGGUAAAGAUAGCAUGAUAGCUAAAAGCACUAAAGCUGUGCUUGGUAUGCAAAAAUGAAAAGUGGAAAUCAGCGUCUUAUUCUUUUUCUCCUUUAUUCACAUAUUAGGAUAACUAAUAUCUAAUGUUUUUUUUAUGUCUCAAAUUCUAUUCCAUGUUAUGGUAAACUUUCAUCUUGUUUAAGUGGAAGAGUAGGAUCACUUUUGUCUGGUUUGGGCUCAAGACGAUAAGCCUAUAGAGACUUCAUAUUGGGUUGAAUUGAUGCCCUUGAUCCGAUCAGUUCGUUAGAAAAAUCUGAAUUAUUAUAAGCAUUUAGAUAAAAUAAAUAAAUAAAUGUGAAACAGAGACUAUUCUCUGCACAACCUUGACCCUAGUUACUCAGUUUCACUGCUCACGGGACUAACCUCUCCAUUCAGUCGAAAUGAAUUGUAAUUUCUUUACUGGUAGCAGUAGUACUUUUCAUAGCAAAGAUAAUAGUAAAUAUGAAAUAUAAAUAUAUAGAAGGAAAUCUGGAUUGUAGAUAGCACCAUAAGUAACACUCAAUAUUUACUACAUAAUAAAAGAGAUAGUGUUACAAAGGUAGAGAAACCUACAAUGAGUACUCAUCACCAUUCUCAAACAGAAACAUAGCAGUGACUUAUACAUAGAACCUAUAGGCUCGCAGGGAAAGAGUAACAUGAUAAGUGCACAGCGGGUAGCAGCUCUUAUUUUACGUAUUACUCAAAAUCUCAAACUAACCAAAGUCACUCAGUUGGGAUGGGUAGGAGAUGGUGGUUUGUGGGGUGGCUUCUGGGUAGGAGCUGGUGGCUUCUUUGUUGGAGUUGAAGGAGGCGUAAUCUUCUGAGGUGGCUUGUAUGAGUCUUUGGCACUCUCUGCAGGAGGGUGCCCAGGGUUGUGACCGGAAGGAGGUGGCUUCUGUCCCUUUGGUGGUUUGCCUAAUGGGCUUGGUGGCUUGUGCUCCGGGAGUUGUUUCUCUCCCUCGAGUAGGUUUCGAGUUUUGUCAGAUGGCUUGUGUUCUGGUGGUGGCUUCUCUCCCUGGGGUGGUUUGCCGAAUGGGCUUGGUGGCUUGUGUUCGGGGAGUGGCUUCUCUCCCUUGGCAGGUUCAGUUGGUGGCUGGUGCUCCGUAGGUGGUUUCUUCACCGCCGGCUUCUCUCCCUGGAGAAGGUUACGAGUUUUGUCAGAUGGCUUCUGUUCUGGUGGCGGCUUCUCUCCCUGGGGUGGUUUGCCAAAUGGGCUUGGUGGCUUGUGUUCGGGAACUGGCUUCUCUCCCUUGGCAGGUUCAGUUAGUGGCUGGUGUUCCGUAGGUGGUUUCUUCACCGGCGGCUUGUGCUCCGGAAGCGGCUUCUCUACCUGGAGAAGCUUACGAGUUUUGUCAGAUGGCUUGUGUUGUGGUGGUGGCUUCUCUCCCUGGGGUGGUUUGCCAAAUGGACUUGGUGGCUUGUGUUCGGGGAGUGGCUUCUCUCCAUUGGGAGGUUUAGUUGGUGGUUGGUGUUCCGUAGGUGGUUUCUGAAGUGGGGGAUGCUUGGGGUAGUCAGCAAGAGACGAGGUAGUGAGAACCACCAGUCCCAGCAGCAAUACUAGCAAGGAUGUGGAAGACAUCUUUGAGUUCAGGCUGAGAUUUGUGCAAGGCUAGAAGAAUUAGGUGGCCUUUUAUAGCGGGCUGGACCCAACAACCAAAUGACACGUAUCAUGAUACACAUAUGUGUUAUAAGAUCCUUGUGGGUCCUACAGAAGUUGAAAACUUUGACAAUUGAGGUGUGAUUACAACUUUUGUCCCUAUUGCUUUCUCGUCAGCCGUUUUGCAAGAUUUUUGACAGGAGGACGGUAGUUUAAAAUAAUAAUUUCUAAAGUACUUUUGUGAAAAAAAAUAAUUCCAAACGUGGAUUUUAUCAAGUAAAAAAAACAAAAAAAAGUUAUUUUCUUUUAAAAUCUUUUCUUCAUGAUUCAUAUACCAAAAAAAGAAUUGUUUUCUGUAGGUAAAAUUUUUAAAAUUCAUUUUUAAAAAAAAAAAAUUACACACUAAAAUUAUCUCUUCAAGAAAAUAUUUUUUAAAUUUUAAAUAAUUAUUAAUUUAUAAUUAAUUUUUUAUUAAUUAUUUAUUAAAUUUAUAUGUGAAAAAUGCAUUUAUAAAAAACAAAUUUUUUAUUAAUUUAUUAAAUAAUUAUUUACAAAAUAAAUAAUUUUGCUUUAUUUUAAUUUUAAAAUUAAUUUUAUUAUAUAAAUUUUAAAAUUAAAAAUAUUAAUAUUUAAUUUAAAAUUUAACUAUAAAAGGAAUAAAAUAUAGAAAAAUAAAUUAAUUUAUUAUUCAAUAAAUUAAUUUUCAAUAAAAUUUUCAGCAUUAAGAGAUAAAUUUUUAAGUAUUAAUCAAUUUAAAAAAUAAUAAUAAUCAUUUGUAUACUAAGAUAUUUUAUUUAGUAAUUAUGAAUGAUAAACAACUAAAGUAAUUUGAAAAAAUAAUAAAAUAUUUAAAAAUAAUAAUUUAAUACACUUAAAAUUAGAAAUGAUUAACUAUUUUUUAUUAAGAAAAAAUUGAAGAAAUAUUUUGUUAUUUAAAAUUUUUUAUUUGUUUUCAAUUUUAAAUGUUAUAGGUUUCAAGAAAAUUGAUCAAAUAAAAAUUAAGAAGUCAUUUUUUCAAAAACUAUAUAUCUAAAUAAAAGCCUUGAAAUUCAAAUACACAAUAUCAUAAAUAUAAACACCAAGUCAAUCCUUAAUUAUCAAAUGUUUUUAAUAUUAAAGAAUCAAAAUCACCUACUAUCAUGAUAAUAAGAAAACCAAUAAUAUUGUUCAUAUAAAUACUAAAAAGCUAACAAAUAUCCCAAACAAUUAAUAAAGUAUCAAACAUGAUAAAAAGUCAAUUAUUAUCAUGAAUGCAAAAAAUCAAUAAUUUUGUUUAUAUGAACCAUCAACAAAGAAAAAAAAAAUCAAUAUCUAAAUAUUAAACAUAAUUUAUAUUUUUAUAAAUAUUAUUGUUGAUAAAUAUCUUAAUAAUUAUAAUUUUUUAUAUAUUAAAUUUAGUAAAUAAAAUUAAUUAAUUUUAUAAUAUAAGAUAUAUAUAAUAAUUAAGAGACUAUUUGUCCCAAACAAUUUAUUUAUUUUUUUUUUAGGAAAUUGUCUCUUCAAGAGACGACUUCUCCCAACAUUUUUAAAAAAAAAAAAAAAAACAUCUAUUCAAAAGACGAUUUCUCCUCAUUUUUUAAAAAUGAAUUUUAGAAAUCAUAUUUUCAAAAAUGAAUUUUAGAAAUCAUAUUUUCAAAAGACGAUUUUUUUUUAUAUAAAUUAUUUUUUAAAAUGACGAUUUUAAAAGGAAAUAACGAUCUCUCUCCUACUUGGCAAAAACUAUGGUAAAUUUGGAAUUAUUUCUUCCACAACCAUAGUUUAAGAAUUAUUUUUUUAUACUUUCGUAGACUUAUCAAAAAUCCCUAUUUUGCAUGUCUCAUUUGGCAUGACUUUCUUACCUAAACAAGCAUAUAUAUAUAUAUAUAUAUAUAUAUCACUUUUGUCUGGGUUGAGUCAAUGCCCUUAACUAAUUUGUUCAUUUGAAUAGUCUAAAUUAUUAUAAGCUUUUAGUUAAGAAAAAUGUGAAACAUAAAUUACACCUCUCGGCACAACUUCGACACUGGUUACUCUGUUUCAGUUUAUUCACACAAGAUUAUUGGUUCUAGGGUUUAUUUGGUUUUGGUUUGAUUCUAAUUGCUAAACUUUCUCAAGGAAGAUGUUAUAUAGGGAGUGAGAAACCUUCACUCCUGGCUACCUCCAAGAGAAGAGCAAGUGGUCUGAAUCAAAGAUAUACUGCUCACUUUUUCUUCUUCUAAGGACAGCUAUGACCUUGCUUUAAAAUGUUCGAAUAGCCUAAUGCAACCUCCCAUUUCUCAAGUCAGCUGAUGAUGUAAGUCACCUUGGCUUUCCACAUUCAUACGGUGAGGACGUUUGUGGGUGUAAUUCUCUUAACAGUUUUCAUUUUAUAUGGAAAAAUUCAUAAUUAAGGGUAAUUACUGAUUCCAUUUGACAGUGACCAAGUUUAAAAUAUUAACUCAUGUAUUAAAUGCACAUUAAAAAAUCAUGGAAUAAAUAUAUUUACUAAUAUAUAGUUCUUUUGUCAUGUUCUGUCACAGAAGCAUCGAACUUUCCCUAGAAAUUUUUGCAUGGUAUUCUGCUUAUGAUUUUGAAAACUCUAGGCACCUAAGGCCACUGAUUGCAUGGUUGGAUGAGGAGCUGCAUGAGAUUAUGUAUCCUGUUGCUCCUUAACUACAAAUAUCAGUUUUAAGUAGCAUCUCCAUGUGACAUUUUCCUGAUGCAAUUUCGCUGUCCACCAACAAAUGUCUCCAUGCAGCUAGAUGAAUUGUAAUUUCUUUGUUGUUAUCAACAGCUUUAAUUAAUCUUGAUAUAUAUAUAACUUAGUAGAAGUAAUUAAUCUAGAUUGUAGUUGCACUAAGAUAAUAGGCAAUAUUAUAACAGUGCCACAAUGCUCAUCGCCAAAUAGAAAGGUAGAAAAACUACAAUGAGUAACUCACACAACAUUCUCAAACAGGACAUAGCGGCGACUGAUACAUAGAACACUAUUGGCACUCAGGAAAUGAUAAGAUCAGUGCCCAGCAGGCAGCACGUCUUAUUUUACAUACUACUUAAAACUAACCAAAGUCAUUCAGUUGGGAUGGGUGGGAGAUGGUGGUUUGUGCGGUGGCUUCUUUCCUGGAACUGGUGGUUUUUUUGUUGGAGUUGAAGGAGGCUUAAUCGUCUGAGGUGGCUUGUAUGAGUCUUCAGCACUCUCUGCAAGAGGGUGCCCAGGGUUGUGACCAUAAUGAGGUGGCUUCUCUCCCUUAGGUGGUUUGCCAAGUGGGCUGGCUGGCUUGUGCUCCGGGAGCGGCUUCUCUCCCUUAGGUGGUUUGCCAAAUGGGCUUGCUGGCUUGUGCUCUGGGAGCGGCUUCUCUCCCCCAAGAAGUUUGCGGGUUUUGUCAGAUGGCUUGUGUUCUGGUGGUGGCUUCUCUCCUUGGG